Molecule: long non-coding RNA, 46320 nt
Filed under: Populus trichocarpa (black cottonwood)
Lineage: Eukaryota; Viridiplantae; Streptophyta; Magnoliopsida; Malpighiales; Salicaceae
Description: long non-coding RNA (PTRI_LNC000305)
Source: RNAcentral
CAAAUGCCCCUAUUGCUUCAUGAUCAAGAAUCAAAACUUGGGGUGCCCAUCCUCUGAUAAUUAGUCCCACGCCUUCCAUUCUUUCCUCAAAUCCUUCAGGUAACCAAUCUUCCUUGUCUUCUUGACCCUUUUUGUUUCUUCUAACUACCCAGAUAAACUGCUGACCAGAAGCUUCGAGACCUGCUGCAAUCUCCUUAAGCUGAGAGUCACUGAAGUUGGUCGUGCUUCCAAAGCAAAUAUAAACAACUGAAUUUGGUUUCUUUGAGUCGAGCCACUUCAAACACUCAUGGUGAUCAAUUGAGGUUUCUUUUCCUCUUCCUGCUUUAUCUUCAGUGUCUCUAUUGCAUAGUGAAACCGGGCCUACAUUCCAAGCCCUUCUGCCCAAGACCUUCUUGUAGUAAUCAGCGUAAGCUGGCUCAAGCUCAUAAAAGCUGUUGACAACAACACCAAAGCUCCUCAAUUCUGCUUCUUUAGAUGCUUUCAAGAACUUGCUAAAGUCAUUUUCAACAUUUUCUCUUACAUCAUCUGGCAGUUGCUUCUUUGUCAACUUUAUAUCACCAGGAAGAUCAGGCACCACGAAUGGUUCGGAAUCUGAUGAAACUUUCUUGUGUGGCUCAUAAAGCCUCACACAUUCUGAAGCACUUAAAGCAAAGUUACUAGUGCCAUGAAACACUAGCCUCGGAAUUCCAAAUUUGGCAGCAGCAUCAGUAGCCCAGGGAAAGAACACAUCAGCAACAAUGCAAUCAGGGUGGCAUUCUUGUAGCACCUUCUCAAAGGGUGCUUGAAGAAAGGUUGUGGCCUUGAUAAACUUUAUGGUCAUUUCCCUUGCAUUUUCGCUGAAAAUGAAGGCAUCUGUAUUUUCAUAUCCUUCAGGCAAACCUGCCUCUGCCGCAGGGAAUUUGAUGGUUAAGAUAUUAAUAUCAAAACCCAACUCUUUGGUUUUUUGGAUUGUUUUCGAAAAGAAAGGCGCGUUUAGAGGAGUGGUGAUGAUAGUUGUCUUUAUGCCUCGAGAAGCAAAAAGCUUGGCCAUGUCCACGGAUGGUAUCAUGUGGCCAUGAGCGAAGAAGGGUAAGAAGAAAAUGUGCAAUUGGUGACCCAAACUACCCAUCUGGCCUUGUAGGAUAAAAAAAGAACUGAACUGAAUUUGUCAGUGAAAGAUGGGAGUGACGAUGAAGAUGAAGAAAAGCUUGUGCUGAUUUUGUUUUUCUAUGCUUAUGGACCGAAUAUCUUCCUGGACAUGAAUUGGUAUUUAUAAACAGACAGGUCUAGGCAUCUGAGAUUUUGAUGCAAGAGUCUUCUUUAACUAGCUAGAUUUUUCUACACACACGUCAUUGCUCCUGUCACAAAGUAAUCAAUUCUAGAAGAACGUACUGGGAAAGUGUGAACAGGUAAUCUGAACUUUUGAUCCGCACAAAACAAAUUUCCUUAAAAGUUAAAAGUGGCAAGAGAGUUACGGCAAAAUUAAGAGAAUAACAACGUCCACUACUGCAUUAUAUUUUUUUUCACUUUUUUUUUCUUUGUUUAUUACAUAAUAAGGAUAAUAAUUUAAUCCAUUCAAGAUGGUUAUCGAUCCCGAACCAAACAUAUAUAUAUAUAUAUAUAUAUAUAUAUAUAUCAUUUAAUUUAUAUUAAAUAAUUAAUUAUUUGAAUCUAAAAACAUGAUCCAAAGUAAAAUAAGAAUAUGUUCCUACUAGAACAAAUUAUAUUUAAUGAUUGCCCAAUUCCGUGAUUAAUAGCUCCCAGUAUUGCACCUGCAUGCGUAGAACACUCUAGACGACUUCUUUAUGAUGACAUACGCUCUUACAUCACGACCCUAAGUAGAAGACAAAAGAGUGAUACACUCAAGACGACUUCUUGAUUCCUGAAGGCGGUGGAGGCUUGAAGCCUUGAACUAGUAAUACAUUCAUGAAUGUGUGAGCUCCAAUGAUGCUCGAACACAAUUUCACUUUUUUCCUACCCUAGAAUUACUUGGCAAAUAAGCUUUAUAUAUAUAUAUCAGGAGAUCAAUGCGGUAGAAAAUCACUUUUGACGGACCUCCAAAUUUCAGGAUGCAUAAUUUUGACGCUUUUAAAAAAUUGGAGUACAAAAUACAAAACUUUAUACAGCAGCAGCAGUAAGCAGGUAUUUUUUAUUUAAAAAUAUAUCAAGAUAUGUUUUUCUGUUAUGUAUUCGGGAGCUUCUUCAACCUCUGCUUCGCUUUAUAACCAAGCUUUGUGAGCAGAGAAUGGCUUAUUCACACUGCACCAAAUUUCACUGAAGCAUGCAGUUUGUUUCCAUACAAGAAGCGCUGGAUGAGAGCUGGCGAUCAACCAUAAAAGAAAGAGAUUAAGGGAGAUGGUAAGGGUUCAAAGCAUGUAAUAAUUCAUCAGCAGCAUGCGCUCUCCUCUCUCACUAAACAACAUUCUAUAAAAUCAAGUUCCCUGUAAAAAUCUGAAAUCUUCCUACUGCUUGCUUGUUUUCAGUGGCGCCUGCCUCUUAAUUCUUCAAUUAGAGCAUUCAAAUUAGAGUAAGAUGAACCAUCUUCUUCGAUAGCCCUCUUUGCCAUUCCUCCAAGGGCCUCAACUCUGCUUCUCAUUUCCUUUGCUUCUUCACCUGUCAUGAUUCGAGUUACGGCCUUUUCUACGGCUCCACUCGUAAUUUUAUCCCCGUAUACUGUAACCCAAUGUUGAACACCAACAGCCACACCAAUUUUUAGCACGUCAGUCACCAGCUUCUCAUUAAAGAAUUGCUCUGCGGAAACUGGCCAUGUUACCAUUGGCUUCCCGGCAGCUAUGCCUUCAAUGGUCGAAUUCCACCCGCAAUGAGUCACAAACCCCCCUAUAGCUUCGUGAUCGAGAAUCACUACUUGUGGCGCCCAUCCUCUUAUAAUCAGUCCCUUGCUUUCCAUUCUUUUCUCAAAUCCCUCAGGCAACCAUUCCUCUUUAUCUCUAGCUUUCUUGUCUUUCCUGACAACCCAAAUAAACUGCUGCCCUGAAGCUUCAAGAGCUAUUACAAUCUGAAAGUUUUUUAAGUUUUUAUUUAUAAUGAAAGGAAUAGAUUGUAUAUCGUUCAUAUCCCGAAGCGGCAAAGGCCUAUUUUCUUAUUGCUUGAAAUUUGAAAAUCUUUACAAAUAUUCAGAAACAAAAGAAACUAAAAUGAUAACUUAUAGCAACAUAUCAUGCUGCACAAACUAACAGAUUAAUAAACUUAUGGAGACUAGAACAACUCUUUAUUAUUGCAGAAAAAUCAUAACAGAAAAAACAGAGUUUUUGACAGCAAUUUGAAGCAAACUUCAACACUCCUCCUUGCUUUAAAAGCUGCAAACUCCUAUCAUUUAUCUUAGAAACUUAAAGCAAACAAAUCAACUAAUUGAUCUUCAGACUUGCAAUAAAUCAACUUAACAUCACCAUUUCUUUGCACCUCACGUAAAAAAUAAAGUUUGAUGUUAAAGUGUUUGGUUUUUCCAUAAAACACUGGAUUGUGAGAGAUUGUUAUGGCUGCUUGAUUGCCAACUGAGAUCUCUGUUGCUUCUUCUUCCUCCAUGUGUAAAUCAAGUAAAAUCUUCUGAAGCCAUAGUGCUUAAUUUAUUGUUGUUAUGGUUGCAAUGAACUCUGCCUCUGCAGUAGAUUGUGCUACAAUAUCUUGCUUCUUGGAUGACCACGAAAAUAUUGUUGAUCCUAGAUUGAAAUAAAAUUCAGAAGUGUUUUUUCCUGUCAUCAAUGAAUCCACCCCAAUCACUAAUUCAGAAGUGUUUGUUCCUGUCAUCAAUGAAUCCACCCCAAUCACUAUCAGAGAAACCAUGCAAUCUUAACUCUUGACACUUCAAAAAUUUAACACCAAAAUUAUAUGUCCCUUUGAUUUAUCUCAAAAUUCUUUUGGCUGCUCUCAUAUGUAUUUUACUUGGACAAUGCAUAAAACGAGAUAGAAGGCUUGUUGCAUAAAGUAUAUCAGGUCUGGUUGCUGUUAAAUACAGUAAACAACCAAUCAGGGUUCUGAAUUUCUGUUCAUCAACUCUGGGAGUUCCAUCUUCUUUGCUGAAUUUAUCUUUUUGAUUCAUUAAAGUGGUUGUUGGUUGACAGUUCUCCAUAUGUAAUUUCUUCAGGAUUUCCUUAGCAUAUUUCCUCUGGCAGAUGAAUAUUUCUUAUUUGUUUUGCAUGAUUUACAUUCCCAGAAAAAAUCGCAUGAGACCAAGAUCGAUCAUUUCAAAAACUUGCACCAUCUUCUGCUUCAAUUCUCCAACCUGCUGUAUAGUACUUCCUGUCACUAAAAGAUCAUCAACAUAGAGUGAUAUUAUGAGAAUAUCAACUAGUUCCCAUAUGCAGUUCUUUUCAAUCAUGGAUAUCUCCUCUUGCAUUGCUUUCUGCCACUCUAGGUUCUACUGAGCUUCUUCAUAGCCUUCUGGUUCGCAGACUGCUACAUUACUCCUUUGGUAAAUGUCUUCAAGAGAUCUGGUGCCUCUGAUUGGUGAAUCAUCAAUUGAUUCAUCCUAGAAUUGAAGUUUGAUUUGAUCUUCCAGCAACUCAUUUCUUUGUGAGUCUCCCCAGUCCCAUUGCUCUUCUUUAUGGAAAUGAACAUUCCUGGUAAUGGCCAUCUUCUAAGUUUGAUGAUGAUAUACUUUGUAGGCUUUAGAAACGGUACUAUAGCCAACAAAGAUACCCGGCAUAGCCUUCUUGUCAAACUUGUCCCUCUUGAUUUGUGGAACAUGAACAAAACACUGCCAAAGAUUUUAAGAAAGCUUAGUGAAGGUUUGUAAUUAUACCAAACUUCAAAAAGUGUCUUUUCUUCCAACAAUUUUAUUGAAAGUCGGUUUUGAAGAAAAAUAGUUGUGUUAGCUGCUUUUGCCCAAAACGUCUUUGGCAAAUUCUUUUCAUGUAGCAUGCAUCUAACCAUCUCUAUUAUGUAUAUGUUUCUCCUCUCACUGACUCCAUUAUGUUUUGGAGCGUAAGGAGCAAUGAGUUGAUGUUCAAUGCCAGCAUCUUCACAGUAGAGAUUUAAUUUUAAUGAAGUAUAUUCUUUACCAUUGUUUGAGCGAAUGGCUUGAAUUCUGCAGCUGCUUUGAUUCUCCACCUUCUUCUUGAAUCUCCAAAAAAUCCCAGCUACUUCUGACUUGUAUUUCAUAAAAAAAAUCCAACACAUUCUAGUGAAAUCAUCAAUAAAGAGAAUGUAAUAUCGACUAUCUUUUAGUGAAGGUGUGCUUAGAGGACCGACAACAUCAUUAUGGAUUAAUUGAAGUUUCUGUGUAGACCUCUAAGUUGAUUUUGGAAAUAGUUUCCUAUUUUGCUUACCAAACUGAUAGGCAUUACAAUUUGGUAAAUGAUCAGUGAAUGAAGGCACACCUUUUACAACAUCAUGCUUCUUUAUAUUGAGCAUUUGUUGUUGAUGACAGUGUCCCAACCUUUUAUGCCAUACUUCUAUGUCAUUUAGCUUUGUUGAAAAAGUUGUGUGCUCCUCCUCAAAUGGUAUAAAUGAGAAACUUUUGCCUCUCAUCCUGGCUUGCAAUAUUUUUUUGGCCAGCAACAUCAAAUAUAUAACAAGAUUUAUCUUCAAAAAUCACCUUUAUACCUUUGUCUAUUAAUUGCCCAACACUUAACAAAUUCUGAUUUAUAUUAGGUACAUGAGAACAUCAAAAAUUGUUUUUGUACCUGAGUUUGUUGUGAUAACAAUGGUCCCUUUUCCUUUAGCUGCUAUACAAUCACCAUUUUCAAAUUUGACUUUAGCAACUUCAGUAGAUUGCAAAGUUUUGAAGAGACUUUUAUCAAAAGCCAUGUGGUUUGUGCAACCAUUAUCAAUCAGCCAGUGAUUUGAGGAGGUUUGAACUGAAAAACACAUGGCUACAAACAUCUGAUCUUCAUCAUCUUGACUAGCAACUUGAGCAUCUUCUUCUUGUUUCUGAGGUUUUGUCUUGCAGAUAAUUGCUUCAUGUCCAAGUUGGUUACAUUUGCUACACCUUGCAUCAGGUCUCUUCCAGCACUUAAAUGGUGGAUGACAUAUCUUGUUGUAGUGUUGACAUGGUGAAAAAUUUCUCUUAAUAAAUUUUCCUUUGCCCUGAAAUUGACUGGCAGUAGUCUUAUUACUGCUUGAAGCCUAGUUUUUUUUUUUAACUUCUUCUUAUUAGAAUCUAGAUACUGGACUUGUAAAGCACCUUCUGUAACACGGGCUUGCCUCAUAAGUCUUCUUUGCUCCUGAGCUUGUAAGGCAUUUAAAAGUUCUGCCAACGUAAUCUUAGACAAAUCUUUUGUAUUCUCCAAUGUAGUAAUUGAAGCUUCAUAUUUUUUUGGUACUGUAACCAUAAUUUUUUCAACAAUUCUAAAGUCUGUAAAUGAUAUUCCCAACAAUCUGACUUUGUUAACUAUUCCAAACAACCUAUCUGAGUAUUUCUUUAUGGUCUCAGAUUCUUUCAUUCUUUGCAGCUCGAACUCUCAUAUCAAUUUUAGGCUUUGCAUUCCACAAAUUCUUUCAUCCCCUGCAUAUUCCUUCUUCAGAUAAUCCCAAACAUCUUUUUGCUAAUUUAAGAGACAUGAUUCUUUUGAAAAUAGUUGUUGAAAUAGCAGCAAAUAGACAUGCUUUUGCUUUUUGAUUUCUUGGUUUUCCUCUCUCUGUGACUCUUGAUCUAGGCCAUGGUUGGAUUAUUCGGUAAUGGAGGAACAUCAUAGUCCUCUUCAAUUGCCUCCCAAAGAUCUAAAGCCUCCAAAUAAGUCUCCAUUCUCACUGCCCAGAGUUGAUAGUUUUCUCCUUCAAAGAUAGGAGAAGAAAUGUGAGAAAAACUUGCUUCAGCCUCCAUUACAGGUCCCUCAAGAAAACUGCUCUGAUACCAAAUGAAAGUGUUUAAGUGAAGAAAGAAAGUAGAAGAGAAUUAAACCAACAAAUUAUUAUUACUGUUUUAUUUAUAAUGAAAGGAAUAUAUUGCAUAUCGUUCAUGAAAUCUUUAAAAAUAUAUAGAAACAAAAAAAGCUAACUUAUAGCAACAUAUCAUGCCAUGAUUUGUUAACAAACUAACAGAUUAACAAGCUCCUAGAGACUAGGACAACUCUUUAUUAUUGCAGAAAAAUCAUAACAGAAAAAACAGAGUCUUUGACAGCAACUUGAAGCAAACUUCAACACAAUCUCCUUUAGCUGAGAAUCACUGAAAAUGGCUACAGUUUUAAAGCAUAUAUAAACAACUGAAUUAGGCUUCUUUGAGUCGAGCCAUUUCAAACACUCAUGUUCGUCAAUUAAAGCUUUCUUUCCUCUUUGUGCUUUAUCUUCAAAUUCUUUAUUGCAUAGCGAAAUCGGGCCUAUGUGCCAUGCCUUCCUCCCUAACUCCUUGAAAAAAUUAGCAUAAUCCAACUCGAGCUCAUAGAAACUAUUGACGAUGUUAGUUAUUGAGUUAGGUCCGGUCUGCCCAUGAUGGAUGGGUCUGGUCCAAGUAUUUAGAGGAGUUACUAAAAAAAGUAAUUGCUUCCUCUACUUAUAUAAAUAGGGACAUAACUCAUAUGUAGAUGUAAGUUUUCAUUAUUGAAAGAACAUAAUUCUCUCUUUCUCUUCUCCCAUCUUGGACUCUCUGCAUUAACUUGACAAGAUUUACAAAGACGUUCGUACUAUGGAAUAUCACUUUGGUUCUAGUAAUUGAAAUGACACUGAAGUUUUCCUUUCCAUUCUACAUUGGUAUCAGAGCCAUGGUUUUUAAUAUUAUUUUUAUGCAGUACAUCUAUUACUAUAUAAAUGUUAGAUGUAAAUUUUAUGUUAAAAGAAUUCUUCCAUUGAGUCUUGGAUUUACAAAAUUUUAUGAAGUAAUUGAGUUAUGAUUUUAUCUUUUCUAUCAUUAAUUAGAAAAUAUCUUUUGUAAACAAUAGUUGUAUAAUUGUUAUUGAUAAAACAAAACCGUGACCACACACAUGUAACUACCAUAUGUAGUUGAAAAAAAAAACAAAAGAACACAUAUUUAAGAGAUGUGUAACUACCACUUGGCAGUUAAAAAUAAUAAUAAUAAUAAUAAGGCAAUUAAUAUUAAUUUAUUGUUAAUAUAAAUUGUCUAAUUAAAUAUUAAGUAUAAUAUUUAUGUGCUUUUAGAAUAUUUUGUCACAAUGGAUAAGCACCAACAAAUUGAUCAUUUAUUGAGUUAUGCCUUUAAUCAUGUUCAUAAAAUUCAAGAGCACAUUGAUUAUAUAUAUAAUUAGAUGAGUGGACUGACUAUGAGUGGUGUUUAUGAAUUCUACAUGGAACAUCAAAUGUUAAUCGUUCUCAAUUCUCUGCUUGAGAAAUGGAUGUCGGUGCGACUAUCAUUGGAAUAUAGGCUGGAAUCCUUAGAUUUCAACAAUCUCAUUGAUGAAAUGCUGCUUGAGAGGGAACGUCAGUAUACCAAAAUAGGUAUAUGAUGCAUUGGAAGAAGCGCAGGUCGUUUGGAUGCUGCUGCUAAAUUCAUUCCAUAGUUUGAGCAGAAUGAACAUAAAGGAGAUGACUUUGAUGAAAUGGAUGAUGUAAUUGGAGACCCUACUUAUGUGCCUACAAUAUAAAAUAAUUCUAAAAUUUAUUAUUCUUAAUAUUGUAUUUUUUUUAAGAUAAUUGGUUGUUUAUUGUGAACUAUAUAUUUUAUGUAAUUUAAGUUUUAAUUACAUUAGAUGCAUAUAUAUGAUAAUAUUUGCAACCUGAUUAGUGAGAGUUGUUAGUUGAAACUAAUAACUAUAAUUUUGCACUCAUUUAAAUUUUCAAUAAUAAUUAAACCAUACAAAUGGUAAAUGAUUAAAUGUUUAACAUUCUUUUCAUUUGUAUUGUAUGUGUUAGAUUAUUAUUUGUUUAUUUUAGAAUGGAGUGGCAAAAUAUGUCAAUUAAAUUGUACUAGAUACUAAUAUUUGUAAUUGCUGUCAAUAACGCUUAAUAUGGCUGCAUCUAAGAGUAUUAUUGUUGAUUUGAACUAUGAAGACAAACUAAGUGAAAAGAAUUACGAUGUUUGGCAUCGUAAGAUUGAGUAUCUCCUGGAAGAGCAAGAAAUGCUGGAAACAAUCACACAACCGAUGGCUGAACCUGAGUAAGGAAACAUUGCUCAGCACAGGCUUGAUAUGGAAGCAUAUCAAACCUAUAAACUUAAGGAUCGUGUAGCUCGUAUUUUAAUAUUGAGCAACAUGAGAAAUGAUAUAAUGCUGCGUUUUGAAAUGCAUCGUUCAGCUCAAUAUGUUUAGGAUGCAGUAAAGAUUUAGUAUGGAGGAACCUUCACUACCAGACUUCGCCAGUUAACCCUCAAAUUCAAUAGUUAUAAGAAGUGCCAAAAUCAGACGAUGAGAUAGCAUCUUAUGGUCAUGUCUAACAUGAUCAAUGAAUUAAGGGGUGUUGGGCAUGAGAUGACUGAUGAGCAACAAGUCUAAGCAGUUAUCCGCUCUUUACCAAGUAAUUAGAAACACAUGUGUGUUAACCUUACCCACAAUGACAACAUCAAGACAUUUGAUGAUGUUGCUCGUCAUUUUGAGCUUGAAGAAGAUCGAAUUCACGCUGAGAAGCCUAUAAACAAGGCUUUUAUAUCUGAGACUAAGAUGCAUGGAGCAUAUGGCUCUAAAUAUAAAAAGGGUAAGACAAGAGAGGAAUAGAAGCAAGUAGUAGUGGACAUAAGCGCAAGCGUGAGAACGGGGCAGUAAGAAAGGCAAGAAUAUGAAUUGUUUCAAUUGUGGUAAACCUAGAUCACUUUACUCGUGAUUGCACUAAGCCAAAGACUCAGGAGCAACUGACCACGUAGCAGGGGAUCGAACAACCUUUGUGGAAUUUCAUCGAAUUCUAAAGGGAAGUAGAUACUUAUACAUGGGGAAUAAUGCUUCCGCUACUGUGCUUAGGAUUGGUACCUGCAAAUUGGGUUAGCGGGGUGGUUACACAUUUUAUCUUCAUGAUGUACUAUAUCUACGCUCCAAAAGUUCGAUGGAAUUUUGUGCAUGUUCUUACUUUACUCCAAUUGGGCUUUAAUAUUGCGUUUGUUGGUUGUUGUGUAAAAAUAUAUCUGGAUAAUAUUCUUUUAUGGUUCUAGUUUUGUAUUAAAUGGUUUUAUGGUGUUAGACACUGUUAAUGUAUCUAUUAAUUAUGAUGCUUCAAUUUAUGUUGUUCAAAAUUCCAGCAUUAUUAAUGAUAGUAAUAUCAUAACUAGGCAUGCUAGAUUAUGACACAUUAGGCAAGAUCGAUUACAUAGAUUAGCAAGAGCUAGUCUUUUAGGAUCACUUACCAAAGAGAAAUUGCCCAUUUGUGAGCAUUGCCUUGCUGGAAACGCAACUAGAUUACCAUUUGGCAAAGCUAAAAAAGCAAGUAGUCCAUUAUAGCUUAUUCAUUCAGACAUUUGUGGCCCAAUGAAUGAGAAGAGGGCAAGGCAUGAAGGAAAUUAUUUCAUUACAUUUAUAGAUGAUUUUACAUGGUUUGGUCAUGUUUAUUUGAUCUCACAUAAAUCUGAAGUAUUGAAUUGCUUCAUUCAAUACACCAAUCUGGUGGAGAAUAAACUAAACACCAAGAUCAAGACUUUAAGAACUGAUCGAGGAUGUGAAUACCUAUCUGAUCAAUUUAAAAUUUUUAUGAUGAAAAGGUUAUAGCUAGGCAGCUAACUGUUCCUCUUACUUCACAACAAAAUGGUAUGACAGAAAGGAGAAAUAGAACCCUAUUUGACAUGGUUAGGUCAAUGAUGGCACAAGCUGACUUACCAAUUUCUUUUUGGGAAGAUGCAUUGUUGACUGCUGCUUUCAUACUUAAUUGUAUGCUCUCUAAAUCUAUCUUACCCACCCUAUAUGAACUAUGGAAUGGUGUCAAACCUAAUCUAGGUUAUUUCCAUCCAUGAGGGUGUGCAACUUAUAUUCACAAUACUUCUCAUGAAUAUCAGAAACUUGGUCGUAGGGGGAAGAAGUGUAUCUUUAUACGAUAUUCUAAACAUUCCAAAUGAUUUGUUUUUAUGAGUGAAAAAGCUUAUGGAAGAGUGACGAAGAUUGAAUCGCGUGAUGUUGUAUUCUUAGAAAAGGUUUUUCCAAAGACAUGUGAGGUUGAAAAAGAUUUUCAAUUAUAUGAAAUGCAAAAUCUAGAUUAUGGCGCAACAAGCCAUUCAGCAGAGGACUUAUAUGAAACUUUUAAUCCUUCUAGAAAUAGUAGGAGUGAUAUUUUAUUUAGUCCUAUUCUCAUAGAGUAAGAUCAUUAGCAAUCUCAACCUCAAAGAAGCAUUCGUGAACCAAUUCCUCGUCGUCGAUUUGAGAUUAAGGGGGAAGCGUUCAUGAUUGCUCCACAAGAUGAUGAAGAGCCUAAAACAUUCAGUCAUGCUCUAUCUGUUCCUAAAGCAAAAAAAUGGAUUAAAGUUAUGGAAGAAGAAAUGGAGUCGAUGAAAAUUAAUCAAGUCUAGGACUUGGUUGAUUUAUUGUCAGGACGGAGAUCCAUUGAAAAUAAAUGGGUUCUUAAAAUUAAACGUAAGACGGAUGGGUUAAUAGAAUGUUAUAAGGCUCGACUAGUAGUGAAAGGCUACACUCAAGAAGAGGGAAUUGAUUAUGAAGAUACAUUCUCACCAGUUGUGAGGAUUACUUUAGUUCGCCUCAUUUUAGCUAUACUCGCACAUAUGUACCUAGAGUUAUACCAAAUGGACGUUAGAACUAUGUUUCUCAGUGGAGAACAAAAUAAGGAGAUCUAUAUGGAUAAACCUUUAGGAUUCGAGACUAAAGGACAAGAGCGUAAAAUUUGCAAGCUUAAAAGAUCUAUAUAUGGUUUUAAACAAGCUUCUAGACAAUGGAAUGUUAAAUUUCAUCAAGCUAUCCUUAAGGAUGGUUUUACAAUGAUGGAAAAAGACCAUUGCAUAUAUUUAAAAUGUUCUAACAAUAGUUUUAUAAUAUUGUCCUUAUAUGUUGACGACAUCUUAAUAACUGGAAAUAGCAAAGAGAUGAUUAAUACUACUAAAAAGUGGUUAUCAUCAAACUUUAAUAUGAAAGAUAUGGGUAAGGUUAGCUAUGUUCUUGGUGUGAAAAUCAUAAGAGAUCUCGCUAAAUGGCUUGUGGAUUUAACUCAAGAGAAUUACAUUAAAAAGAUGUUAGAGCAUUAUCACAUGCAAGAUUGCAAACCAACGAACACCUAUGUUGAUAGAAGCUUAAGCCUAAGCCGUGAUAUGUUUCCUAAGACUCUAAAAGAAAAGGAGAAAAUGUCUAAAGUACCUUAUGCUAGUGUUGUCGGUAGUUUGAUGUAUGCAAUAAUGUGCACACAUCCCGAUAUAUGUUAUAUCGUUGGAUUGGUUAUCCAAUAUCAAUCAAACCCUGGUCAAAAACUCUGAAUGGUAAUCAAUAGGAUCAUACGAAGGCUUACAAUCAUUGAAUAAUGAAUAAAUACCAUUACUAUAUCAUGUUAUUUAUUAUUUGUUUUAUAGAAUAUAUUGUGAGUAUCAUAUAGUACAAUUUGUGAAAGUAUGUCGAUAGACUUAAAUUGGCUCACUCACAUGAGCAAUAACCUGUAGCACUAGUAAGAUGAGUAGAGAUGAGAUUAUUUAAUUUUUAAUGCUCAAUAAACGACUUGGGCGCAGUGGGAACAAUUUUAACUCAAAAUGAUUAUUAACAUGUCACCUUAGUUGGGACCAAGAUGAGGUUCUUAAAUAAAAGAAUCGACAUGAAUGAAUUCCCACCAUUCAUGUGUCUAUUAUAAUUGAAGUCGAGUAUAAAAUUAUUCAUUUGCCACUAAUGACAAAUGAGCAAAUGAGAAUUUCUGAUUUGAAGUCUAUGUUUUUAGCAACAAGACUAAGAUUCAUAUGAUGUAUUUUCUAUAACAAGGAGAGCAACGACAUACACUCUUCGUCUUAAUAAAAGAAAAGAGUAAGCUCCACUAUAGCAUGUAUUUCAUACUAUAUGUGCUAGCAACCAUUCCAGAAAUAAAGAAUGGAUCCCUGCUUCUUUAUUAUGUAAGUCCUGCAGAUCAUAUCUAAACUCUUAAAAUCUUACCCUUUGUGACUUUUGACUAUAUCAUGAGGUAAUGUAUUAAUGAUCGCUACUUUAGGAGUAUAUCCUAUGGUCAUGGAAUGAUUCGACUUAAAGAAAUACUCUUAGGAAAGUAAGUAAUUUAGAUCUGAUUGAUAUGAGAGCGAAAGAAAAAUAAUUUUAGUUUUACACUUGUUACUUGUAUUCACCGACCGAGAUUAUAUCACUUGAAUAGAUUUGAUAUGAUUUAGAAAACUUGUAAAUAUAAGGAUGGAUUGAGUAUGAAAUUCUUGAGGGAUUGAAUUAUAUUCAGUCAUGUGUAACUAAAAAUGCUUGGGGUAUAUUAGUACAUUUUAAGGAAUAAUUAAUUAUGAGGUUGAUGUCUCUUAUAUGGCCUGUAUUAGGUUUAUAUAUUGGAGCUCCUUUCACAGUGUGCUUCAGGUCCUACGGUCUGUUCGUCAAGUAUGAAAUUCUUGAGUAAGUUUGAAGUAUAAUGUAUUAGAGAGAUUCAGUCCUUUAUGGGCGAGUGGGAGAUGUUGGUUAUUGGGUUAGGCCUGAUCGGCCAAUAAUGGAUAAGCCUGGUCCAAGUAUUUAGAGGAGUUACUAAAAAAAGUAAUCGCUUCCUCUAUUUAUAUAAAUAGGGACAUAACCGAUAUGUAGAUGUAAGUUUUUAUUAUUAAAAUAACAUAGUUCUCUCUUUCUCUUCUUCCAUCUUGGACUCUUUGUAUUAACUUGACAAGAUUUACAAAGACGUUCGUAGUGUGGAAUAUCACUAGUAAUUGAAGUGAUGCUAAAAUAAGUUUUCCUUUCCAUUCUAUAGACGACAAUCCCAAAAAUCUUCAAUGAUGAUUCUCUAACCUUUUGAAUUAACCUAGUAAAAUCAGUUUCCACGUUUUGUUUCACAUAUUCUGGCAGGUGCUUGCUUCUGAACUUGAUGUCACCAGGAAGCUCAGGCACCACAAACAGCUUAGAAUCAGAAGAACUUUUCUUAUACGGCAUAUAUAUGUUCAAGCAAUCUAAAGUGCACAAAGAAAAGCAACUGAUGCCAUGAAAUACUAAUCUUGGAAUCCCAAAUUUGGUUGCAGCAUUAGUAGUCCAAGGAAGGAACAUGUCAAUAGUAAGACAAUCAGGGUGGCAUUCUUGUAGUAGCUUCUCAAGUGGUUGUUGGUGCAUGGUUGUUGCCAUGGAAAAAAAUUUGGUCAUUUCUCCCUCUAUCUCAUGAGAAGUGAUCAAAUCUGUGUUUUCGCAUCCUUCUGGCAAUCCAACGUCAACAGCAGGAAACUUGAUGGUUUUGAUAUUGAUAUCUAGGGGUGAGCAAAAAAACUGAGAAACCAAUUAAACCGAGAAAAAAAUAACCAAAAAAAUCGAUUAAACCGAUUAUUAUUUUUUUAAAAAUUUGGUUUGGUUUUGGUUUAAGAAACCUGAAACCGACCAAACCCCAACCGAAUCGAAUCAGUUCAGUUAAGGGGGUACUAUAAAUACAAAAAAUAAAAUGCUUUUUAAUUCUUAACCCUAGCAAUACCUGUCCGUGUCCAGCCACAAUACCCGUCCACGUCCAGUCGCCCCUUCUCAACCCUCACAAUUCACAGAUCUCAUUCUCAAGUCUCAAUCUCAGAAUCUCUCACACUCUCAGCCUAAUCAAAAAUAAUUUCCCCAUUAUCUAAUAAAAUCAAGUUAAUCAAUCUUCAUCUCAAUUCUCCUGACUCUUGUUAUCUACUGGUAAACCUUCAAUCUUCAUCAAAAGAUCUAACAAACGAGCCACAUCCCUCUCCCAGUCUCCCACACGGGCAUGAUACACACCACACCUAACCUCCAGAUCUAGCAAACCAAUCAUCUCCCUCUCUCACACCCGACCUUGAAUCUUGUCACACCAAGUAUGAUUUUUUUUUUAUCAAUCUCUGUUUUUUUUUUUUAACAUAUGCUUUGUGAUCUGUGUAUUUGUUAAAGUGGUAUAUUCUUACAAAAAAUCAGAAUUUAAGCUUAGAGUGAUAUUUUGGUUGAUUUGGGAUUCUGGAAAUAUGCUUAAAUUUAGAUCUGUUGUUUGUUUAUUAGAUCUGUUUUAGAUUGAAAUAAGUGGGUCAUCUGUUUUAACAUAUGCUCUAUGAUUCGACAUUCAUCCUGUCUCCCACAUUUAUGAAAAUACUUACAAUUAAUUUUCAUGAAUAUAUUCCAAGAAAGCAUGUAAAUACAAUUAAAAACAUGGUUUAUAUUCCUUGUGAUUCCUUAACCCACGGGCCACAGUUCAUUGUUCUUCAUUUCCUUUUGUUUUCUGUCUUUAUUAAACUUUUCUUAUGGACUAAUUUCUUGAAUUGUGUUUCACAUGUUUAUUAUUUAGCAAAUUUAUAAUAGUUUUUUAAUAAAUUGCUUAAAGUUAUUUAUAAAAUGAGAAAAAUAUCUUUAUAGAUUUUUGAAAGAAAUGUCUAUAUUUUAUUAGAUCCCACUAUUUCAAGAAUCAAGACCAUCCAUUGGCUCUUGGAUAGGAACAUAAAUGCAACAGCCUGGAAGCUGCUAAUUCUUCUUGAUUUUGGACAUUCUUAACCAGGACUCAAUUUUAUUAGCUGUUAUUGGAAAUUUUCCUGCGCUAAACCUAAUUAGCUAGUAAUCAUUCUAGUUCACUUGGUAUUUCCAAGUAUCCAGUUCUUCCUUUAUCUCUCGUACGUGUGAGUGAGGAAUGUAAGGAAAGGAAAACCUUAAUAUCUUUGCUUGUAGAAAUUUGGGAUCACUUUACAAAACUUGAUGUUGAUCCUAAAACCCCUAAAGCUGAAUGUAAUUAUUGUGGAAAACAUUAUACAUGUCAUACUAUUGUUAAUGGCACAAGUAAUAUGUGAAGUCAUUUAAAAGCGUGCAAAAAGUUUUCUUUUAUAGUUGAUAGGAAACAAAAAGUUUUGGUAUUAGAACCUAAGAUAGAGAAGGGUGAAUUGGGAGAUCAAAAUGUGGGAACUCUUAAGGCAAUAUGUUAUAAUUAUGAUGAAUGUAGACAAGCACUAGCAAAGAUGGUUAUAAUUAAUGAGUUGCCUUUUAAUUUUAUGGAGGGUCAGGGAUCUAAAUUGUUUGCUAGGACCAUGCAAUCUAGAUUUGACAUUCCUUCUCGUUUCACUAUUAUGAGAGAUUGUUUGAAACUUUAUGUUAAAGAGAAGGAUUGAUUGAGGACAGCUCUUAGGAGUCAACAAUUGUGCUUAACAAUAGAUACAUAGACAUCAAUCCAAAAUAUUAAUUAUAUGUGUUUAACAGCUCAUUAGAUUAAUAAUGAGUGGAAUUUGCAUAAAAAAUUCUCAAUUUUUGUCAAGUUUCCAAUCAUAUGGGUGAGAUAAUUGGUCAAGUUAUUGAUAAUUGUAUGUUAGAGUAGGGGAUUGAUAAAGUUUUGACUGUUACAAUAGAUAAUGCAAGCUCUAAUAAUGUGACUCUUUCAUUUUUGAAAAAUACGAUGAAAGAUUAGCCAACUAAUAUAUUGUCAAAUGAGCAUUUGCAUGUUAGAUGUUGUGCACACAUUGUAAACAUCAUUGUGUGUGAUGACUUGAAAGAGAUUAAUGUUUCAGUUGUUAAAAUUCGAAAUGCAAUUAGGUUUAUGAGAUCUUCACUGUCGAGGCAACUUGCAUUUAAGAAGUGUGCAGAAAAGUUGCAUAUAGAGUGUAAGAAAUCAUUGUGUUUAGAUGUUGCAACUCGAUGGAAUUCAACUUAUCUUAUGCUAGAAGCUGCUGCAAAGUUUGAAAAGGUGUUUGUGAAGUUAGGUGAAAAAGAACCUAGGUAUAUGAGUUACUUUUUGGAGGUUGAUUCAAAGGGGAAUAAAAAAAACAUAGGGCCAACUAGUUUGGAGGAUUGGGAAAGUGCUAGAACUUUGAUGAAGUUCUUAAAGAUCUUUUACAUGGUUACAUUGAGAUUUUUUGGCUCAUUACAUGUCACAUCAAAUUCCUUUUUCAAUGAAUUGAUUUACAUGCAUACAAACUUGUUGUCAUUGUGUAAAAAUAAAGAUAAUCUUUUAAGUGGAAUGACGAUGAAUAUGAUGUUAAAGUUUGAGAAGUAUUGGGGUUGUGAAGCAAAUUAGAAUUUUUUGUUAUAUGUGGCUAAUGUCUUAGAUCCAUGUUUCAAGUUGAAAUAUGUGAAAUUUUAUUUUGGUGACUUGUAUAAUUAUGACAAAACACAAUUGCUAACAAAUAAGGUGAAAGAUACUUUGGUGAGUUGAUGAAGUGGUGGAUAAUAAUAUGCAUAAACAAGAUGUUAAUGCUAUUGAUGAUAUGGAGGUAGAUGUUAACACUUUGGCUCGAUUCAAAAGACAUUUACAGGAGGAGGAUAGUGUGGAAAAUAGAAAUGAGGUUUAGAGGUAUUUGGUUGAUGGUUGUAAGGAUCUUAAUGAUGAUAAGUUAGAUAUUUAAGGUUGGUGGAAGAGUAAUGCUUCGAAUAUAAGACACUUUCAAAGGUUGCACAACAUAUUCUAGCUAUUCAUAUAUCCACAGUGGCUUCUGAAUCAGCUUUUAGCACAGAUAGUCCUAUACUCGAUCAAUUUCGAAGUUCUCUAUCUCCAGCAACAGUUCAAGCACUCAUUUGUUGUCAAAAUUGGUUGCAUCAUGGACCAAUUUCAACUGAUAUUAGAACCUUGAUAAAUGAUUUUGAAACCUACGAAAACCUUGAGUGAGGUAAUUUUUUUUAUAAACUUGCACCUUUUAUUUUGUGAUUUAAUUAAAAUGUUUUCAAUUGUCUAAUAUGUCUAAUUUUUUAUUUUAUAGAAUUUGGUGGAAAGUUACAUCUAGCAAUAGAUGAUAAUUAGUUCAAAAGUCUGUUGGAUAGUAAAAUACUACUUUUUUAUUUUUAUAUCUUCUAAUUUAAUUUAUCAUGUUAUAAUUCUAGAUUUUGAAUUCCAGGUUUUGAUGUCAAAGGUAUUAUGGAAUCAAAGUACAAUGUUCUUAAUGUGUUUUUCGAUUGGGAUAAUGUGCACAAUGAAGAUUUAUAUUUUUUGCAUGAAGUGUUUUAUGAUAAGGUUAUUUGUUGUUUUUUUAAGCCCUUUUGAAGGCAAUGCUUUGUAAUUUAAAUUUAAAUUUGGUAUGUGUUAUUUAAACUUUGAUGUAGGAGUCUUACUCCAAAAAAAAUAUUAAUUAGGAAGACUUGCAUCAUAUUGAACACAAUAUUGACACUAAUAAUGUAAUAUAAAUGAAUAUUCAGUGUUAAAAAAAUUAAAUAUAUUCUAGAAUCUUGUAACAAAAUUAGACAAUAUUAACAUCAAUUACAAGCCCAUCAGAAAAGCUCAUAAGAAAGCCCAAAAACAGCCCAAAAAACAAUACAGUUUUUUUCUUAUUUUUUUUGUUAAAUAACUGAAACCGGUCGGUUGGAACUAAUUUCGGUUUUUUUUAAAAAAUCAGUUUGGUUAUUCUAUAAGUAAAAACCGAACCGAACCGAAAAUGAUAACCCCAAUUGAUAUCAAAGCCCAAACCUUUUGACCUCUGGAUUGUUCUGGAAACAUGUUCGGUAUCAUGUGGCCAUUUGCCAUGAAGGGGAAGAAGAAGAUGUGUACCUGAUUCUCCUCACCACCCAUGUAUAUUCCUUGCAAUCAAAAGACUAAAAGAGGUGCUACUGACGCUGAUAAUUGGAGACAAUAACACCGUUAAGCCUUUCAAGAUGAACUGGAUUACUGGAUUAAGCAGAGAAGAAAAUGAUGAUGUUGCAGACAAGGAAUGUAAAGUCUAUUUUUCUAUGCGUGGGAUGUCUGAAGAAUGAGUGGCGCGUGUUGAGGUUUGGACAAUAUUACAAACCGGCUUUUAUAAAUUUGUAACCGCAAAAACUUGAACAUUUUUAGUGCUGUUCUUGUGUCAAGAAAUGCAUUUCAAGAAAUACCCGCUUUCUUUUCUUCAUCAUUUGUUCGGGAGGUGACCAAUGAAGUUGCUAUGGAUGAUGAUUCUUGUGUUUCGGCCACUGUCAUGAAGGAUAUAUAUCGUUAAUCAUUGUUCGGUAUCGGUUCCUUUUUCCUCUUACAUGUAUUUUUACGAGUAAUCACAACAUUAUGUGCUGGAACUGCAAAGGUGCAGGGAAACAGGAUUUCAAGACUAUAUAUUAUUGGUGAACUAGGGAGAAGAUGCAAACCUCAUUUUUCCUACUCGGGACUCAUUUUUCGUUGGUCAGAGCAGAGGAGGUUUCCACUGCAUUGGGUUUCGACACUGUUGUUAGAGUGGAUGCCAGGGGGUUUGCUGGUAUAUAGGCUUUAUGGAAUUCUCAGAUGAUUCACGUUUUGUUCAUGUUUAACUUUUGUCGGUGGUGGAUCAUGCUGGGCUGCAAUGGUUGUCCUAUGCGGUUUAUGCUAGUCCUCUUUCUGCUCUCAAUGAUAAAUUAUGGACUCGUCUCCAUGAAUUAUACUGCUGAUGUUCCAUGGAUCGGUAUACCCUGCAGAGAAGAAAAAUGAAAAAAAAUAUAAUAACAAUUAUUAUUAUUGUUAAAAAUAUUAUUAUUUGUCUUAUAAAUAUUUUUUUUAUUAUAAUUAAAAGUAAUAUAAUUAAAAAUAUUAUUAUCUGUAUUAUAAAUAUUAUUUUUUUUAGUACAAUUAAAAAUAUUAAUAUUACAAAUAGUAUUAUUUGUGUUAUAAAUAUUAUUAUGGAUCGGCAGACCUUGCCGAGAAGAAAAAUGAAAAAAUCAAUAUAAUAACAAUUAUUAUUAUUAUUAUUAUUAUUAUUAUUAUUGUUAAAAAUAUUAUUAUUUGUCUAAUAAAGAUUAAUUUUUUUAUUAUAAUUAAAAGUAAUAUUAUCUGUAUUAUAAAUAUUAUUAUUUUUAUUAUAAUUAAAAGUAUUAAUAUUAAAAAUAGUAUUAUUUGUAUGCAACAUCAUCAUUUUCUGCCCCAGCUAUUAAAAUGAUAUUAUUUGUAUGCAUAAUAUCAUUUUAAUGGCAGAAAAUGAUGAUGUUCCAUACAAAUAAUAUUAUUUUUAAUAUUAACACUUUUAAUUAUAAUAAAAAUAAUAAUAUUUAUAAUACAGAUAAUAUUACUUUUAAUUAUAAUAAAAAAAUUAAUCUUUAUUAGACAAAUAAUAAUAUUUUUAACAACAACAAUAAUAAUAAUAAUAAUUGUUAUUAUAUUGAUUUUUUCAUUUUUCUUCUCGGCAAGGUCUGCCGAUCCAUAAUAAUAUUUAUAACACAAAUAAUACUAUUUAUAAUAUUAAUAUUUUUAAUUGUACUAAAAAAAUAAUAUUUAUAAUACAGANNNNNNNNNNNNNNNNNNNNNNNNNNNNNNNNNNNNNNNNNNNNNNNNNNNNNNNNNNNNNNNNNNNNNNNNNNNNNNNNNNNNNNNNNNNNNNNNNNNNUAUUUUUUUUCAUUUUCUCUCUGCAGGGUAUACCGAUCCAGCCGCGUGCAUGGGCCUCUAAAUCCAAGGGCGGUUAAAAUAGAACUCGGCUACCGGGUCUGCACCCAGCGUGUGGGUCUGCUGGGCCUAUAAAUAGUUUCUAUGAGCUCGAGUCGGAUUAUGCUAAUUUUUUCAAGGAGUUAGGGAGGAAGGCAUGGCACAUAGGCCCAGUUUCGCUAUGCAAUAGAGAAUUUGAAGAUAAAGCACAGAGAGGAAAGGAAGCUUCAAUUGACGAACAUGAGUGUUUGAAAUGGCUGGACUCAAAGAAGCCUAAUUCAGUUGUUUAUAUAUGCUUUGGAACUGUAGCCAAUUUCAGUGAUUCUCAGCUAAAGGAGAUUGCAAUAGCUCUUGAAGCUUCAGGGCAGCAGUUUAUUUGGGUUGUCAGGAAAGACAAGAAAGCUAAGGAUAACGAGGAAUGGUUGCCUGAGGGAUUUGAGAAAAGAAUGGAAAGCAAGGGACUGAUUAUAAGAGGAUGGGCGCCACAAGUAGUGAUUCUUGAUCACGAAGCUAUAGGGGGGUUUGUGACUCAUUGUGGGUGGAAUUCGACCAUUGAAGGCAUAGCUGCCGGGAAGCCAAUGGUAACAUGGCCAGUUUCCGCAGAGCAAUUCUUUAAUGAGAAGCUGGUGACUGACGUGCUAAAAAUUGGUGUGGCUGUUGGUGUUCAACAAUGGGUUAACAGUAUACGGGGAUAAAAUUACGAGUGGAGCUGUAGAAAAGGCCGUAACUCGAAUCAUGACAGGUGAAGAAGCAAAGGAAAUGAGAAGCAGAGUUGAGGCCCUUGGAGGAAUGGCAAAGAGGGCUAUCGAAGAAGAUGGUUCAUCUUACUCUAAUUUGAAUGCUCUAAUUGAAGAAUUAAGAGGCAGGCGCCACUGAAAACAAGCAAGCAGUAGGAAGAUUUCAGAUUUUUAAGCUAUGGCAGGGAACUUGAUUUUAAGCUAUUGCAAUCUCCUUUAGCUGAGAAUCACUGAAAUUGGCUACAGUUCCAAAGCAUAUAUAAACAACUGAAUUAGGCUUCUUUGAGUCCAGCCAUUUCAAACACUCAUGUUCGUCAAUUGAAGCUUCCUUUCCUCUCUGUGCUUUAUCUUCAAAUUCUCUAUUGCAUAGCGAAACUGGGCCUAUGUGCCAUGCCUUCCUCCCUAACUCCUUGAAAAAAUUAGCAUAAUCCGACUCGAGCUCAUAGAAACUAUUUAGCAUAAUCCGACUCGAGCAUUAAGACGCGGCUGCUAUGAAGGAGCAGAGGGCAUGCGCAGGUUCCGAGAACGAGUUGACUCUUGUCAAGGUGGUGAGCUCGGUAAUGGCAUUGUAAUACUCAGAGUAUGAAGAUAGAUAUGGAUCAACCUUUAUGGGCUGCCCCCAUGGUUAAAGGUGGAAAGCUACCUGGACUCUUACGACUAAGAGCGAGAGACUCACGGAGAAGUAAGGCGUGGUUCCUAGGGUGGAACAGAGGGCAGGCGCAACUCCUGGAUGAGUAGACUCUUGGAAGAGUGGUGAGCUCGUGAUCAUAUUAAGAUACUCAGAUAAUGAUUGUCGCACUUGGAAAUGGUAAUUUCCGUUUGAGGGGGUGUUGUAAGCCUUGGUGUGAGGCUUGAUGAACCAUUCCGGACCGAGCAUGGUUGAUAUGCUCGAAGGGGAAUGCUGUGUAUCCCAGAGACAAGCGUUAACACUCUUCAGAUGUGAAGUGGCAGACCAUCUGGUUGUAGUGAUCCUUUUGUGUGAGAAAAGGUGUGCUUUGGUGACUCUGGUGAUGGUAAGGUUUGGCAAGUACCAUGUAAACUUGGCCGAAGAUGCUCUCAGAAUGGUAAGCUUGGAAGAGCUGCAAGAUGCAAGCCUGUGCUGAAGAAGCAAGAGGACAGUUGCCCCACAUGAAUGGCAAAGGGGGUGAUUGUUGGGUUAUUGCCAUUGCAUGUACAGCAAAUGGUUGGCACCAACCAUUGACUAUUGGCAGCCACCAUUUUCAAUGGUUAGGCAACCUACCAUGCCUAACCUUGCAGCCAUGUUUGACAGCAGAACAAGUGGAGCAGCUGCCAUGAAAUGCCUAUAAAUAGAGGCAUUAUGUGAGAAGCAAAAUGAGAGGAGUGAAAACGUGAGUGUGUGUAAGAGAGUGGAGAGAAAAGAGAGCUGCAAUGGCAGCAGCCUUGCUGCCAUUGCAGCAGCUGCAAGUGCAGCAGUUAAGAGCUGGGAGUUGAGAGAGUGAAGUGAUCCUCCUCCUCCAUAUAUAUUGUAAUCCUUUCUCUAUAUAUCUCAAUAAUAUAGACUCUCCCGUGGAUGUAGGCGGAUUUGCCGAACCACGUAAAAUAUUGUGUCAGUGUGCUAUCCCUCCUUUGAGCAAUUAUCAGUAUAUCCCCGGUCGGAAUUCCCAACAAUUAAGAGAUCGAUAGUCGGUGCAAAAAUGCCAACUACCAUCUUUUUUCUUCACUAGCAACACAGGAGAUGAGAAGGGACUGGUGCUAGGUCUUAUGUGUCCAGAAUUUAACAUUUCUUGGACUUAUUUUUUGAUUUCUGCCUUCUGGAAAUAAGCAUAUCGAUAGGGUCGAACGUUGACUGGCUCAAUUCCUUCAUUGAGGGGAAUGUUGUGGUCGAUUUCAUGCUUGGGUGGUAGUUGCAUAUGUUCUUUGAAGAUCUCAGUAUAUUUAUCUAAGAUCUGGCGCAUACUUGGUGAUUGACUCUCUUCUGGUUCAUGCAUGGUUGAUUGUGGACAGAUUGCAAAUACCGAAUGGCCUUGGCGAAAUUCUUUUGAAAUCUCCUUCAGUGAAGUGGCUUGAAUAGGCUAAUCACAAAAACCUUGUAGUUGUCGGGCCAUGUUAUCCCAAUAGAAGUUCAUGGUGAGAUUUCGACAAUUACAUAUCACGGACCCUAACAUUUCCAACCAUUGGACACCCAAAACAAUGUCUAAACCUGCUAGGGGAAGUGAGUAAAGCAUAAGUGAAAAAGGAAUUCCCUGAAGAAGAACCUGUACUUUUUCGAACUUUCCUUGACACUGUAGCAACCCGAACUGUAAAUGCCUUUGUUGGUACUCUGGUAGCCGCAGCAGAUCAACCAUGCGAGUACUCAUAAAAUUGUGGGUGGACCCACUGUCAAUUAGCACCACUAUUUCAAACAAACCCACUUUGGCAUCUACAUGCAUGGUUUUAGGUGCAGACCAUCCAGUUAAAGCAUGCAAAGUAAUCUCAGGUUCAACAUUUUCCCUUAUCACCUCUUCCACGUCAACUUCUUCAGUAACUUCUUCAUAUGUGAUUCCAUUGAUGUGAGUUGGGCCCUCUAGAAGCAAAAGCUACAUUCUUUGACAUUUAUGGCCGGUGGUGAACCUCUCAUUGCAAUUAAAGCAUAGUCCUUGGGCUCUACGUUUCUGCAUCUCUUCCCACGACAAUCUCCGAAAGGGUGCAUUUGGUAUUGCCCGUGUUGUUGUUGGUAGCGCCAAAAGUGUUCGAUUGACUAGAAUUGGCCUAAAAAAUUGACGUUGUCUUUUCAUAUGGUCAUCCUUCAUGCGAGCUAAGCUAAUUGCUACCUUCAGUGAUUGUGGUUUGAACAUACGAAUUCCUUCUGCAAUCUCCGGUUUAAGUCCUCCCAUAAAAGUCCCAACUAAAGCCUUUUGGGUCCAUUUACAAACUUGGUUUCCCAACUUCUCGAACUCACUCUGAUAAUUACAUAAGGAUCCUACUUGUUUUAUACGUGAUAAAGCUUCAUCAAAAUCCUCACAAUCUGUAGGUCCAAAUCUAGUCUAUAAUUCAUCUUCAAAAGUCUCUCAUGUCAUCAUUCACCCUUCCUCUCUGUAUGUCCGACGAGCCCAUUGCCACCACUAAUUUGCUUCUCCUUCCAAAUGGAAAGAAGCCAGUUACACCUUGUGGUCGGCUAGAGUAUUCUAAAAUUUAAAGAACUGGUCCACUCGAUCAAACCAUACUGUCGGGUCCUGUCCAGAAUAUCGUGGAAAUUCUAGCUUGCCCAUUAUAGAAGAAAAGACUUGUAUGUUCCCUUCAUUCUCCUCGUGAAUUGUACGAGAGUUUCCUUUUUGGUUUGAGUUGUCAUGGCUUGAUUCCCCUUUGCUUGAUAACAAAGCCUCUGAAAGUUUAUUGAUAGUUUCUUCUGGUUGAUGCAUUUUACCAUACAUGCUCAUCUUCAUUCUCUCUGUACUCCCUCUUGCACUCCACCUAGCCCAGCCUCCAACAUUUCAAUCCGCUCUUUGUUAGUCACCAUUAAACCAGGCUCUGAUAUCAAUUGAUAAGGUCUCAGUCAAAAGCCAAAUUCUAACAGCAAAAAAUAACACAAUUGUUCUCUUCAGGUGAGAAUGUACCACAAGAUAAAAUUAGGAUAGAAAUUAUAUUAUAUCAUUUCAUUUCUUUCCGGCGUUUAUUAAUACCUUCACUUCAACCACUAUUCGGAUAUACAGCUGAAAUCUAAAGUUCCACUACAACGGUUACAUUAUUAAAUUUACUGCAAAAUAGAACAGAAUAGAAACAAAAUGGAAACUAAUGCCUAACACUACCCCAUAACUAGUUGACGUGGUAAAGCCCUCGCGUCCUUAGCUGCUACAAUCAAGCCUUUGUGGAUCAGGUUUGUCCUGGUCUUACGCUUGCACUUCACUAUACUUGGGAUUCGGUUUUGUUGCUCUCUCAGAUCUUCGUGGCUUAUCAGCAUGCUUGUUUUCAGUGGCGCCUGCCUCUUAAUUCUUCAAUUAGAGCAUUCAAAUUAGAGUAAGAUGAACCAUCUUCUUCGAUAGCCCUCUUUGCCAUUCCUCCAAGGGCCUCAACUCUGCUUCUCAUUUCCUUUGCUUCUUCACCUGUCAUGAUUCGAGUUACGGCCUUUUCUACAGCUCCACUCGCAAUUUUAUCCCCGUAUACUGUAACCCAUUGUUGAACACCAACAGCCACACCAAUUUUUAGCACGUCAGUCACCAGCUUCUCAUUAAAGAAUUGCUCUGCGGAAACUGGCCAUGUUACCAUUGGCUUCCCGGCAGCUAUGCCUUCAAUGGUCGAAUUCCACCCACAAUGAGUCACAAACCCCCCUAUAGCUUCGUGAUCAAGAAUCACUACUUGUGGCGCCCAUCCUCUUAUAAUCAGUCCCUUGCUUUCCAUUCUUUUCUCAAAUCCCUCAGGCAACCAUUCCUCGUUAUCCUUAGCUUUCUUGUCUUUCCUGACAACCCAAAUAAACUGCUGCCCUGAAGCUUCAAGAGCUAUUGCAAUCUCCUUUAGCUGAGAAUCACUGAACUUGUCUACAGUUCCAAAGCAUAUAUAAACAACUGAAUUAGGCUUCUUUGAGUCCAGCCAUUUCAAACACUCAUGUUCGUCAAUUGAAGCUUCCUUUCCUCUCUGUGCUUUAUCUUCAAAUUCUCUAUUGCAUAGCGAAACUGGGCCUAUGUGCCAUGCCUUCCUCCCUAACUCCUUGAAAAAAUUAGCAUAAUCCGACUCGAGCUCAUAGAAACUAUUGACGACAAUCCCAUAACUCUUCAGUGAUGAUUCUCUGACCUUUUGAAUUAACCUAGUAAAAUCAGUUUCCACGUUUUGUUUCAUAUAAUCUGGCAGUUGCUUGCUUGUGAACUUGAUGUCACCAGGAAGCUCAGGCACCACAAACAGCUCAGAAUCAGAAGAAACUUUCUUGUACGGCUUAUAUCUGUUCAAGCAAUCUGAAGCGCACAAAGAAAAGCAACUGAUGCCAUGAAAUACUAAUCUUGGAAUCCCAAAUUUGGCCGCAGCAUCAGUAGUCCAAGGAAGGAACAUGUCAGCAAUAAGACAAUCAGGGUGGCAUUCUUGUAGUAGCUUCUCAAGUGGUUGUUGGAGCAUGGUUGUGGCCAUGAAAACUUUUUUGGUCAUUUCUCCCUGUGUCUCAUGAGAAGUGAUCGAAUCUGCGUUUUCGCAUCCUUCUGGCAAUCCAACCUCAACAGCAGGAAACUUGAUGGUUUUGAUAUUGAUAUCAAAACCCAAACCUUUUGACCUCUGGAUUGUUCUGGAAACAAGUGGUGCAUUGAGAGGAGUGGUGACAAUGGUUGCUUUCACUCCUCGAGAAGCAAAUAGCUUUGCCAUGUCUAUGGUUGGUAUCAUGUGGCCAUGUGCCAUGAAGGGGAAGAAGAAGAUGUGUACCUGAUUCUCCUCACCACCCAUGUAUAUUCCUGGCAAUCAAAAGACUAAAAGAGGUGCUAGUGACGCUGAUAAUUGGAGACAAUAAUACCGUUAAGCCUUUCAAGAUGAACUGGAUUACUGGAUUAAGCAGGGAAGAAAAUGAUGAUGUUGCAGACAAGGAAUGUAAAGUUUAUUUUUCUAUGCGUGGGAUGUCUGAAGAAUGAGUGGGGCAUAUCCGAGCACUGAGUAUUGAAUACUUCUUUCAAUUUGUGGUUAGAAAUUCCGCCUUAGACUACUGUUUUAACUUCAAAAGUCUGUGGUUUGGUUCUCUUAUCUAGAAAAUUGUGACUAAUGUAUUUUUAUAGACUUGAUUUUACAACUCUUUGAACAUUAUACUAUAUUUUUAAAAAGUGUGGGAAAAUAUUCUGUAUUUAUUAUGGAAUAGACUCAUUAUACUACACAUCAUAUAUUAAAUAUAAAGUGUUUUUACUGUAAAUAACAUUGUAACAUUAUGAAAGGGUUGUCUUUCUUAUUUUGUAAUAAAAAAAGUUUUGUUGAGUUUAGCUUGGCCGUCAGACCCAAUGCUGCUGUGUCUAGCUCAUACCCAAAACCAAGGCUAUCGAGUCACGAUUUUAGCCAGACUCAUCAAUAUUGGAACUGGCUAGGCAGUUGGGCCCAAUGUUAUUGGGUCUGGUUGGGUCGCCAGAUAUUUCUAAUUUUAUUUUUUUUCUAUAUUUUUUUUCAUACAGUAAAGAGAUAAUAAAUUGAUGGGACUUUUUUUAUAUUGUAUCAAAAUUGAGUGAUGAUAAUUUUUUUCAUUUUAAGGCUGGGUUGAAUUUUCUUAUUAGAGCAUAUUUGUUUUUACGUUUCAAAUAUGCUUUAAAAAAAUUGAAAAAUUUUAUUUUUUUCUUUAAUUCAAAUUAAUAUUUUUUUGAUAUUUGGGUAUUAUUUCGAUGUGAUGAUAUAAAAAAUCAAUGUUAAAAAAAAUAUUAUUUCAAUAUAUUUUUUUAAAAAAAUAACCAUUACGUAAUAAUAUAAUAACUAGCAUAUUGGCCUGCGUUUCGCAACGGGUCAAUAAUAAUUUUUUUUCAAAUGUAAAAAUGUUUUGAGUUUGGUUAAAAGCACGGAAUGUAUUUGCAUCAUCACUAUCUUUAAAUAAAGUAUUUUCUUCAGCAGCACCAUGAAUUGUACAAAGUAGAGCAGCGCUCAAUACACCGGCAACUAAUUUCUUUUCCUUUAAUAUUUUUCUUUUAAGAUAUUUCCAAUUUUAUUUUUUUUCCUCUUUAAAGUUUUUUUCUUUUCUCUUAUUAAAUUUUUAAAGAGGAAAUAAAUUGAUGUGACUCUUUUUAUAUUGUACAAAAGUUGAGUGAUGAUAUUUUUUUUUCAUUUCAGGUUAGGUUGAAUUUUCUUAUUAAAGCAUGUUUGUUUUUGCGUUUUAAAAAUGCUUUUAAAAAAAUUUGAAAUUUUUUUAUUUUUUUCUUUACUUCGAAUUAAUAUUUUUUGAUGUUUUUGUAUUAUUUUGACGUGAUGAUAUAAAAGAUAAAUUAUAAAAAAAAAUAUUAUCUCAAUAUAUAUUUUUUUAAAAUAGUAUUGUGGACAUAGACUCAUUGCACUAUAGACCAUACUAUAGACAUAGAGUGUUUGCACUGUGAACCACACUGUAGCACCUGGAGGGCGUUGUCUUUUCUGUUUAUUAGUAAAAAAAUAUUGUUGGGUCUGUUUUGGCUAUCAGAACCAACUUUAGUCAGCCGGACCCAAGGCUAUUGGUUAUGGCUGGGCCACCAUAUAUUUUCAAUUUUAUUUUAUUUUUUUGUCUCUUAAGAUUUUUUUUCUUUUUUCUUAUUUAUUUUUUUUUUCAUACGGUAGAGAGGAAAUAAAUUAAUGGGACUUCGCAGCCAAGCCAAAUCCAAGAUUAUUGGGUCUGGCUCUGCAGCAAGACCCAAGGAUAUUGGGUCUGGCUCUAGCUCCGCAACCAGACACAAGGCUAUUUGGUUUAACUCGACCACCAGAUCCAAGACACUUAAAAUCACGCUUUAUAUUUUUUUUACAUUUAAAAUAAAAAUUGUUAUUGACUGCUGCGAAGCGCAGGCCAAUAUGCUAGUGUGGUUUAGAAGGUGUUUGUGAGUGUGGUAGUGGUUUCUUUUCAAAGUGUUUUUCACUCGGAAAUGCAUUAAAAUAAUAUUUUUUUUAUUUUUAAAAAAUUAUUCUUAGUAUCAGCAUAUCAAAACAAUUUGAAAACAUAAAAAAAAAAUAUUAAUUUGAAAUAAAAAAUUAUUUUUUUUAAAAAACACUUUAAACUAUAAAAAUAAACAAGUUAUAAGAGUCAACUGAGAAGAAAGUCAGUCAUCAAUUAUUGAUGCAAGAGACGACUUGGACCCGUAGAGUGACUUUUUUUAGUGGACUUGAAUGGUCCCUUCGCAUUCUGCGACCUACCAGCAAUGCUUCAUCAGAUCCACUGCAAAUUUUUCCACUCUGCCAUUCUCUUUUGUUAAAAACCCUGACAGGCAACCCAUCAAGUGAGGACCGAGGUUUACAGUGGCUUAAGGUACUGGUUUAAAUGUUCUUAAUUAAAGAUGGAUAAAACAAAAGCUGUAUUUAACAUACAUCCGUGCAUUUUUUGAAUUUUUUUUAAAUAUUAUUGUGAUAUAUUUUCACACAAAAAAUAUUAAAAAUACAACCCGAUCCAUUACCAUCCCUUUAUUGACAUUAACCCAGAACAGUUGCUGCCCUGGAAAGCAGAGUCCAUGUGACAAGCUACGCAAAGUCUCAACUUUGCCUGCGAGAUUUCAGUUCUUGGAUCAAAGCAUCAGCAUUCUUACAAGAGGAUCCACCUUCUUCAACAGCUAUCUUCGCCUUCACUCCAUGUUUUUCAGCUCUUCUUCUCAUCUCGGCUGCCUCCUCGCCAUUGCCCAUCAGCCUCCUGCACUUUGUCUCUCCCCACUGAAACCCAUGACUCGGUCCUUGGCGACAUCCAGUGAUACUCCCCACUUUCACCCAUAAUUUCAACACAUCAGUGAUCAACUUCUCAUUGGUGAAUUGCUCUGCAGUUAUAGGCCAUGUUACCGUUGGCAUUCCAGCACUCACCUUCUAAAGUUGAGUUCCAUCCACAAUAAGUCACAAACCCUCCAACAGCCGGAUGCUUUAAUAUCAACAAUUGAGGAGCCAACUAUCUACGUUGUGGCCCAGUGGUAAGAGCUUGGGACCAAAAGGUUUGCUUCCUCUGUGGUCUCAGGUUCGAGCCCUGUGGUUGCUCAUAUGAUGGCCACUGGAGGCUUACAUGGUCGUUAACUUCAGGGUCCGUGGAAUUCGUCGAGGUGCGCGCAAGCUAGCCCGGACACCCACAUUAAACUAAAAAAAAAACAAUUGAGGAGCCCAGCCUCUUGUUAUUAGUCCUCUUCUGGAUUCUUUAAUUCUAUCUUCAAGCCCACUGGGAAGCAAAUUUUCUUUGCUUUCUCCAUUUUGUCCAGUUGAUUUAAGGAUUUUUCCUAUCACCCAGAUGAAUGGGUGAUUGGAAGCCUCAAGACCGUGGGCGAUCUCUAGGAAUUGUUCAGGGGCUAGACGAGCUAAGCUUCCAAAACUGACGUAAAGAACCGAAUCGAGUUCUUUACUGUCAAGCCAGCUCAAAAUGGUUUGCUCAUUAACUGAAGUCUUUUGGCCUCUCUCAGCCUUAUCUUCCACAUUUCUAUUGCAUAAUGAAACUGGUCCCACGAGCCAUGCCCUGUUGCCUAAUUCAUUCCUGUAGUAGUCCACAUAAGCAGUCUCCAAUUCAUAGAAACUAGGGGUGAGCAAAAAAACCGAGAAACCGAGUAAACCGAAUAAACCGAGGAAAAAAAACCGAAAAAACCGAACCGAAAAAAAAAACCGAUUAAACCGAUUUCUUUUUUUCAAAAAAUUUUCGGUUCGGUUCGGUUUCGGUUUCCGAAACCCGAAACCGGCAAAACCCCAACUGAACCGAACCGGUUCGAUUUAAGGGGUACUAUAAAUAGGAAAAAAAAAACACGUUCUAAUUUCUAAAACCUAAUUAACCCUAAACACUCUGCGACUUCGUCUCCUUGCAGCCGCUCCCUCAAUCCUCACAGCCGCACCUCACACAAUUCACAUUUUCACCCACUUUGUAACAAAAUCAAGUUAAUCCACCUUCGAUUCUUCAUCCAUAUCCUUCUCUGGCUCUCCAACGCCAUCUUCAUCUUCAAAACUAACAACCUAGCUAGUCAGCCACAUCUUUUUCCCACACGACCACGAGUCACAUGAUACACAGUACACACCCCAUCGGCACACUGAACCUCCAGAGUUCAAAUCUAGCAAACCAGUCCCUUCUUCUUUCACACCUGAACUCGAAUCGUGUCCCAACUCACACCAGGUAUGAUUUUUUUUUCUGUCAAUCUCUGUUUUUUUUUUUAACAUAUGCGAGUUUGAGCAUUUUGUGUAUUUUGGUUGAUUUUUUUUUUGCAUUAAUAAAUAUGUUAUUAUGUGUAGUGUGUAUUCUGUGAUUUAACGCAUGGAUGAUUUGUUUUUUUUUUUGUGCAUUCUGUCUCCAGAGUCCAAAUCUAGCAAACCAGUCCCUUCUUCUUUCACACCCGAACUCGAAUCGUGUCCCAACUCACACCAGGUAUGAUUUCUUUUUUCUGUCAAUCUCUGUUUUUUUUUUUUUUACAUAUGCUUUGUGAUUCUGUGUAUUUGUUGGUAUAUCCUUACAAAAAAAUCAGAGUUUGAGUAUUCUGUGUAUUUUGGUUGAUUUUUUUUCUGCACUAAUAAAUCUAUUAUUCUGUGUAGUGUGUGUAUUCUGUGAUUUAACGUAGGGAUGAUUUUUUGUGUGCAUUCUGUGUAUUCUGUAUGAUUCUGUAACUUUUGUUUUUAUGUGUUCUGUGUAAUGUGUAUUAUGUGUAAAGCCCCUCAUUGCCAUUCAUUUUGUAUUUUUGUUUAAUACUGUAAUGUGUGUUGUGUUUUUUGUAAUGUGAUUAUGUGUCCUAUAUUUAGUCAUUAAUUUCAUUAAUUCUGUCACUAAUUACAUGAAUAAUUCUGAUUAACAUAAUGGAUAUUUAAAAUUCUGUCACUAGUUGUUGAUUUUUUCUGGACUAUUUAUAAAAAGUUGAAACAACACCUCAAAGACAGAAAGGAAGAAAGAAAUUUGUUAAAAUCUGAUGAAGGAAAAUUUGAUGGUGUGAAUUUGAGACUUAGGCUUGGCAGUUUGCAGUGAACUUAUUGUUAUAAAAAUCUGUUGCUAUUUCCUGAAAUGACUAAGAAUCUGUUGCUUUUAUAAUAUAGUAUGUAAAUCUGUUCCUAGUGCAUCUCGAAAUAGACUGUUAAUCAGAAUUUCAAGGACAAUUUGAUGGUGUGAAAUGUGUAUUUGAGACUUAGGCUUGGCAGAUGGUAGUGAACUUAGGAUUGGCAGUGAACUUAGGCAAUGAACUUAGGCUUGGCAGAUGUUUUGGCUGAUAUUACUUUCCAUUUUGUUUUUUGUUUUUGCCUGACAUUUAAGUUUCUAUUAGUUUGAUAGUUUUUUUGAAUUUUAGUACAUUUAAAUCUAUUAUAAAUUAUGGGUUUUUAACAUGUUUUCAUUAUGUAAUAACAGAUGGAAACUACUCAAAUUCAAAAUGCUUCAUCCACGGGCACUACACCAACAUCAACCACUUCUCCAACUUCAAAAACUAUUGCAGAAUCAACCAAUGCAGGAUCCACCACAGAUACAAAAGGUAAACAACCUCAAGUCCUUACAUCUAGGAAAAGAAAUGCUGAAGAUAGAAAAAAGUCAUAAAUUUGGGAUCACUUUACAAAACUUGAUGUUGAUCCUAAAGCCCCUAGAGCUGAAUGUAAUUAUUUGUGGAAAACAUUAUGCAUGUCAUACUAUUGUUAAUGGCACAAGUAAUAUGUGGAGUCAUUUAAAAGUGUGCAAGAAGUUUCCUUUUGUGGUUGAUAAGAAACAAAAGGUUUUGGUAUUAGAACCUAAGAUAGAGAAUGGUGAAUUGGGAGAACAAAAUGUGGGAAGUCUUAAGGCAAUAGGUUAUAAUUAUGAUGAAUGUAGACAAACACUAGCAAAGAUGGUUAUAAUUGAUGAGUUGCCUUUUAAUUUUGUGGAGGGUCGGGGAUUUAAAUUGUUUGCUAGGACUAUGCAACCUAGAUUUGACAUUCCUUCUCGUUUUACAAUUAUGAGAGAUUGUUUGAAACUUUAUGUUGAAGAGAAGGAUAGAUUGAGGACAGCUCUUAGGGGUCAACGAUUGUGCUUAACAACAGAUACAUGGACAUCAAUCCAAAAUAUUAAUUAUAUGUGUUUAACAGCUCAUUGGAUUGAUGAUGACUGGAAUUUGCAUAAAAGAAUUCUUAAUUUUUGUCAAGUUUCCAAUCAUAUGGGUGAGACAACUCCAGGAUAGCGUGCGUGAUANNNNNNNNNNNNNNNNNNNNNNNNNNNNNNNNNNNNNNNNNNNNNNNNNNNNNNNNNNNNNNNNNNNNNNNNNNNNNNNNNNNNNNNNNNNNNNNNNNNNNNNNNNNNNNNNNNNNNNNNNNNNNNNNNNNNNNNNNNNNNNNNNNNNNNNNNNNNNNNNNNNNNNNNNNNNNNNNNNNNNNNNNNNNNNNNNNNNNNNNNNNNNNNNNNNNNNNNNNNNNNNNNNNNNNNNNNNNNNNNNNNNNNNNNNNNNNNNNNNNNNNNNNNNNNNNNNNNNNNNNNNNNNNNNNNNNNNNNNNNNNNNNNNNNNNNNNNNNNNNNNNNNNNNNNNNNNNNNNNNNNNNNNNNNNNNNNNNNNNNNNNNNNNNNNNNNNNNNNNNNNNNNNNNNNNNNNNNNNNNNNNNNNNNNNNNNNNNNNNNNNNNNNNNNNNNNNNNNNNNNNNNNNNNNNNNNNNNNNNNNNNNNNNNNNNNNNNNNNNNNNNNNNNNNNNNNNNNNNNNNNNNNNNNNNNNNNNNNNNNNNNNNNNNNNNNNNNNNNNNNNNNNNNNNNNNNNNNNNNNNNNNNNNNNNNNNNNNNNNNNNNNNNNNNNNNNNNNNNNNNNNNNNNNNNNNNNNNNNNNNNNNNNNNNNNNNNNNNNNNNNNNNNNNNNNNNNNNNNNNNNNNNNNNNNNNNNNNNNNNNNNNNNNNNNNNNNNNNNNNNNNNNNNNNNNNNNNNNNNNNNNNNNNNNNNNNNNNNNNNNNNNNNNNNNNNNNNNNNNNNNNNNNNNNNNNNNNNNNNNNNNNNNNNNNNNNNNNNNNNNNNNNNNNNNNNNNNNNNNNNNNNNNNNNNNNNNNNNNNNNNNNNNNNNNNNNNNNNNNNNNNNNNNNNNNNNNNNNNNNNNNNNNNNNNNNNNNNNNNNNNNNNNNNNNNNNNNNNNNNNNNNNNNNNNNNNNNNNNNNNNNNNNNNNNNNNNNNNNNNNNNNNNNNNNNNNNNNNNNNNNNNNNNNNNNNNNNNNNNNNNNNNNNNNNNNNNNNNNNNNNNNNNNNNNNNNNNNNNNNNNNNNNNNNNNNNNNNNNNNNNNNNNNNNNNNNNNNNNNNNNNNNNNNNNNNNNNNNNNNNNNNNNNNNNNNNNNNNNNNNNNNNNNNNNNNNNNNNNNNNNNNNNNNNNNNNNNNNNNNNNNNNNNNNNNNNNNNNNNNNNNNNNNNNNNNNNNNNNNNNNNNNNNNNNNNNNNNNNNNNNNNNNNNNNNNNNNNNNNNNNNNNNNNNNNNNNNNNNNNNNNNNNNNNNNNNNNNNNNNNNNNNNNNNNNNNNNNNNNNNNNNNNNNNNNNNNNNNNNNNNNNNNNNNNNNNNNNNNNNNNNNNNNNNNNNNNNNNNNNNNNNNNNNNNNNNNNNNNNNNNNNNNNNNNNNNNNNNNNNNNNNNNNNNNNNNNNNNNNNNNNNNNNNNNNNNNNNNNNNNNNNNNNNNNNNNNNNNNNNNNNNNNNNNNNNNNNNNNNNNNNNNNNNNNNNNNNNNNNNNNNNNNNNNNNNNNNNNNNNNNNNNNNNNNNNNNNNNNNNNNNNNNNNNNNNNNNNNNNNNNNNNNNNNNNNNNNNNNNNNNNNNNNNNNNNNNNNNNNNNNNNNNNNNNNNNNNNNNNNNNNNNNNNNNNNNNNNNNNNNUUGCUAACAAAUAAGGUGAAAGAUACUUUGGUGAGCUUGUAUGAGUUUUAUUUGAAAAUUGAUGAAGUUGUGGAUAAUAAUAGGCAUAAACAGGAUGUUAGUGCUAUUGAUGAUGUGGAGGUAGAUGUUAACGCUUUGGCUCGAUUCAAAAGACAUUUGCAGGAGGUGGAUAGUGUGGAAAAUAAAAAUGAGGUUGAGAGGUAUUUGAUUGAUGGUUGUGAGGAUCCUAAUGAUGAUAAGUUAGAUAUUUUGGGUUGGUGGAAAAGUAAUGCUUUGAAAUAUAAGACACUUUCAAAGGUUGCACAACAUGUUCUGGCUAUUCCUAUAUCCACAGUGGCUUCUGAAUCAGCAUUUAGUACAGGUGGUCGUGUACUUGAUCAAUUUUGAAGUUCUCUAUCUCCAGCAACUGUUCAAGCACUCAUUUGUUGUCAAAAUUGGUUGCAUCAUGGAUCAAUUCCAACUGAUAGUAGAAGCUUGAUAAAUGAUCUUGAAACCUAUGAAAACCUCGAGUCAGGUAAAUUUUUUUUAGAAACUUGCACCUUUUAUUUUGUAAUUUAUUAAUUAAAUUGUUUGCAAUCAUCUAACAUGUCUAAUUUUUUAUUUUGUAGAAUAUGGUGGAAAGUUACAUUUAGUAACGGAUGAUAAUUAGUUCAAAAGUUAUUUUGAUGGUAAAUUACUACUUUUUAUUUUUACAUAUUCUAAUUUAUUUUAUCAUGUUAUAAUUUUAGAUCUUGAUUUUCAGGUUUUGAUGUCAAUGGUAUUACGGAAUCAAAGUCCAUUUUGAUUGGGAUGAUGUGCCCAAUGAAGAUUUAUAUUUUUUGCAUGAAGUGUUUUUUUUUUUAUGGCAAUGUUUGUUUUUUUUUAAAGCUCUUUUGAAGGCAAUGCUUUGUAAUUUUAAUUUUAAUUUGGUGUGUGUGUUAUUUUAACUUUGAUGCAUGAGAAGUCUAAAACACAAAUAUUAGAAAGACUUGCAACAUAUUAAACACAAUAUUAGCACUAAUAAUUUAAUAUAAAUGAAUAUUUAGUGACAAAAAAUAUUAAAUAUAUUAUAGAAUUUUGUAACAAAAUUAGAUAAUAUUUACAUCAAUUACAAGCCCAUUAGAAAACCCAUUAGGAAGCCCAAAAAGGCUCAAAAAAGCCCAAAAAAGCCCAAAAAAACAAUAAUACAGGUUUUCCGGUUUUGCUGUAAAAAAAACCGAACCGAACCGAACCGAAACCGGUCGGUUUGAACCGGUUCCGGUUCGGUUCCGGUUUGAAUUUUCCAGUUUUCUAAAAUUUGAUUUUGGUUAGUUUUUUUAGCUAAAAACCAAACCGAACCGGAUUUGCUCACCCCUAAUAGAAACUAUUAACCAUAACACCGAAACUCUUCUCAUCGGAUCCUGGCAUUCUUUUUUGCAACCCUCCACCAUUUGGUGGUCUUCCAAGGAAUGGUAACUGGGACGUGGUCAGUUCAAUCCUAUCAGGAAGACCUGGAACAAUAAAAGGCUCCAAAUCAGAAGUUACCUUCUCAUGUGCAGAUCCUUGCUGCCUAUGGUCCAUCCUCUGUGAGAGAGUUUCGAUGUAUCCAGGUCUACACAGGAUGUCAAGUUUCACAAAACUACCAUGUGUUUUGUUGAAUGUGCCUGCGCUGCCCUUCAAGAAAACAUUCCAUGCUUUCUACUUACUAACAUUUAUGAUGAAGAUUGACUGUAAUCCUAUUAAUUUUCCUAGAAAGGGACCUUUUUUUUUUGUUUUUUGGUCAAAAGUAAAAUUCCUUCCCUGUCCAUUCAAUGUGACUGACUCACUGGUGGAUGUCAUGAAGAUUUUGUGCUUUUCAGCUUGGCUCCUAUUUUCUUUAAUCUAGUAUUCGCAAGAAAAACACCAUUUUAGGUUUGUCACCCUGAAAAGCCGACUGUAAUGUAAAUCGACAAUGAGAUGGUCUGGGCUGCAGGGUUUACGCUGGAUCAUGAGCUUGUAUUUGAUUGAUUUUUUGGGCUAAAUAUAUGAGAUGGACUUCUCAUUCAUAGACCAUAGGAAUGGAGCUGAUUUGAAGCAGUGAUUCGUGUUUGAAAUGAAGGCUAAUGCUAACAAGAUCUCUUGAAGGUACAAUCUUUAAAAGACGGGAUACUGAGAGUUGGGAUCAAAAUUACUGUAGAUUGCGGGUAAAUGGAUAACAUAGUAUCUUUUCAAUGUGGGAUUUGAAGCCCUUUCAUAUAUAUAUACUAUGUUCCCAUGAAAAAAACCAUGUUUUUUCAAUGUGGGAUAAAAAACCUUUUGGUUUAAAUACUUCAACUUAAAAGGAUAACACGAUAUCUUUUCAAUGUGGGAUUUGAAGCCCUUUCAUAUAUAUAUUCUAUGUUCCCAUGAAAAAAACCAUGUUUUUUCAAUGUGAGAUUUAAAACCCAUUAGUAUAUAUACUCUAUGUUCCCAAGAAAAAAAUUAUGUUUUUUCAAUGUGAGAUAAAAAACCUUUUGGUUUAAAUACUUUAAGUUAAAAGGAUAAUAUAUUAUCUUUUCAAUGUGGGAUUUGAAACCCUUUCAUAUAUAUACUCUAUGUUUCCAUGAAAAAAGUUAUGUUUUUUCAAUGUGAGAUUUGAAACCCAUUAGUAUAUAUACUCUAUGUUUCCAAGAAAAAAGUUAUGUUUUUUCAAUAUGGGAUAAAAAACUUUUUUAGUUUAAAUACUUUAACUUAAAAGCUUAACAUAAUAUCUUUUUAAUGUGGGAUAAAAAAAAAAUUUAAAAUAUUCUUUUAAACUUCAUAAUAUGUAUAAUCUAUAUUUACAUGAAUUUUUUCAUAUGAAAUAUUAAAAUUUUAAUUUUUUUUUAAUUUUUCCGGGUUGACCUAUAAAACCCGGAAUCCGGUUCCUUGGCCGAAUCAACCCCGAACCGGGUUUAAUAACUAUGGUAUGAACUUUGGAUCCGCACAAAACAAAUUUCCUUAAAAGUUAAAAGUGGCGAGAGAGUUACUGCAAAAUUAAGAGAAUAAUAACGUCCACUACCGCAUUAUAUUUUUUUUUUUCACUUAUUUUUCUUUGUUUAUUACUAAAUAAGGAUAAUAAUUUAAUCCAUUCAAGACGGUUAUCGAUCCCGAACCAAACAUAUAUAUAUAUAUAAUAAAUAGUACAUGAUCCAAAGUAAAAUCAGUUAGAUUAGGAAUUUUGUUUACACCUCUCUCCUAGAUAAUAAAUAGUACAUGAUCCAAAGUAAAAUAAGAAUAUGUUCCUCCUAGAACAAAUUAUAUUUAAUGAUUGCCCAAUUCCGUGAUUAAUAGCUCCCAGUAUUGCACCUGCAAGCGUAGAACACUCAAGACGACUUCUUUAUUAUGACAUACGCUCUUACAUCACGACCCUAAGUAGAAGACAAAAGAGUGAUACACUCAAGACAACUUCUUGAUUCCUGAAGGCGGUAGAGGCUUGAAGCCUUGAACUAGUAAUACAUUCAUGAAUGUGUGAGCUCCCAUGAUGCUCGAACACAACUUCACUUUUUUCCUACCCUAUAUUUUCACGCUUUUAAAAAAAAUAGAGUACAAAAUACAAAACUUUAUACAGCAGCAGCAGUAAGCAGGUAUUUUUUAUUUAAAAAUGUAUCCAUAUAUGCUUUUCUUUUUUGUAUUCGGGAGCUUCUUCAACCUCUGCUUUGCUUUAUAACCAAGCUUUGUGAGCAGAGAUUGGCUUAUUCACACUGCACCAAAUUUCACUGAAGCAUGCAGUUUGUUUGCAUACAAGAAGCACUGAAUGAGAGCUGGCAAUCAACCUUAAAAGAAAGAGAUUAAGGGAGAUGGUAAGGGUUCAAAGCAUGUAAAAAAUAAUUCAUCAGGAACAUGCGCUCUCCUCUCUCACUAAACAACAUUCUAUAAAAUCAAGUCCCCUGCCAUAGCUUAAAAAUCUGAAAUCUUCCUACUGCUUGUGAUAAGGUCCCAUUGGGGUGUUCAUUUUCGAUUCGGUUCGGUUUUUAUCAAAAAAAGUAACCAAACUGAAUUUUUUUAAAAAAAAAACAACCGAAACCGAUUCAAACCGACCGGUUUCGGUUUGGUUUUUUAGAACAAAAACCGGUUCAAACCGGUUUGGCUCGGUUUUUUCCGGUUUGGCUCGGUUUUUCGGUUUUGGCUCGGUUUUUUCCGGUUUGGCUCGGUUUUUCGAUUUGGCUCGGUUUGUUUGGUUUUGGCUCGGUUUUUUCCGGUUUUUUCGGUUCGGUUCGGUUUUUUUUGUUCCAGGCUUAAAAAACCGAACCGAACCGGUCGGUUUUUUCAAAAUUUUAAUCGGUUUUUUUUCACGGUUCGGUUUUUUCGGUUAAUUUUUUUUCCGGUUUUCUCGGUUUUUUGGUUUUUUUUAACAUCCCUAGGUCCCAGUCAAAAGCCAAAUUCCAACAGCAAAAAAUAACACAAUUGUUCUCUUCAGGUGAGAACGUACCACAAGAUAAAAUUAGGAUAGAAAUUAUAUUAUAUCAUUUCAUUUCUUUCCGGCAUUUAUUAAUACCUUCACUUCAACCACUAUUUGGAUAUACAGCCGAAAUCUAAGGUUCCACUACAACGGUUACAUUAUUAAAUUUACUGCAAAAUAGAACAGAAUGGAAACAGAAUGGAAACUGAUGCCUAACACUACCCCAUAACUAGUUGACGUGGUAAAGCCCUCGCGUCUUUGGUUGCUACAAUCAAGCCUUCGUGGAUCAGGUUUGUCCUGGUCUUACGCUUGCACUUCACUAUACUUAGGAUUCGGCUUUGUUGCUCUCUCAGACCUUCGUGGCUUAUCAAUACCCCCUAGAAAGUGGAACCUUGUCCUCAAGGUUCAAGUGUGGAAACUGAUGACACAGUGAUUCAGUCACUUCCCAGGUAGCCUUCUCUAAUGGUAAGUGCUUCCAUUUCACUAGACUUUCUGCAAGGAACUUACCACCUUGCUUCACCCAACAAUAAUCAAGGAUAGUCUCAGGUUCUAAUACAACCUCACCCUUAUCUGAAACUGGCGGAAGAUCUGUGUGUGUCACGGUUGCAUCUACCAUAUAUUUCUUCAAUAAUAAAACAUGAAAGACAGGAUGGAUACGUACACCCUCAGGUAACUGUAGUUUGUAAGCCACGUUGCCCACCUUUUGUAGAAUUGGAUAAGGGCCAAAGAAUCGGCUAGCUAAUUUCUGGUGUACCCUUUUGAAUGCAGAGCUUUGGCGAUAAGGUUGUAGCUUGAGGAAAACCAUAUCAACUUCUUGAAAGGACACAUCCCUCCGCUUCUUGUCAGCAGUCUUUUUCAUGCAAUUGGUUGUAGUGGCCAAGUAGUGUUUGAGCUGUAGCAGAAGCUCAUCACGGUGUAGAAGAGUCUGUUUCACAUUCGUGAACUGGUGUUAAGCCAUCAAAAUAUUCUGGAAUGGUGGCCGACCAUAAAGUGCCUGGUAUGGUGUCAUUCCAGUGGGAUGCAUGGAAAGUAGUAUUAUACCAGAACUCUGUCCAUGGCAAGAAAGAAUGCCAUUUAUGGGGCCAUUGAUGGACAAAGCUUCUUAAAUACUAAUCCAGACAGCGAUUGACUACCUCUGAUUGGCCAUCUGAUUGUGGGUGGUAUGCUGAACUCAUUUUCAGCUUGGUGCCAAACAUUGUAAAAAAUUCCUACCAAAACUUGCUGAUAAAGAUGGGAUCACGGUCACUGAUAAUAGACUUAGGCAUUCCAUGCAAUUUGACCACGCCUUUAACAAAUUUGUCCGCCGCUAUUUUAGCCGUGAAAGGAUGAGAUAACGACAUAAAAUGAGCAUAUUUACUCAAUCUAUCCACCACCAUAAAUAUUGUAUCCUUACCCUAUGAAAUUGGCAGGCCAGCAAUAAAAUCGAUAGUAAUAUCGUCCCAUACCUGACAUGGAAUAGAUAAAGGUUGGAGUAGUCCUCCUAGUGGCAAUGUUUCUGAUUUAGUUCUUUGUUAUAUGUCUCAGCGCUUCACGUAGUCUUGAAUAGUUUUGUACAUUGAAGGCCAAUAGAACUGUGUGGCCACUUUUUUAAAAGUGCGUAAGACUCCAGAGUGACCCACUAUUUUUGUAUCAUAGGCUUCAUAUAUCAACUUGUUGCGUAGAUUGAGAUUGGAAGGAACCACAAUUCUGCCUUUAAAAAAAAGUUAAACCUUUUCGUUGAGUAAAGGGCCCUUCCGGUUGAGUUUGAGUCAGAUUGUUAACAACAGCCAUAUAUUUAUCUCUUGUGGCAGCCUGUUUAAGUUCUUCCCAAAUAUCAAGUUGUGGCACGAACAAGUGAUUGAGAGUGGGACUGUCAGGUCGACGAGAGAUUGCAUCCGCAGCAGAAUUUUCACGACCUGGUCGGUACUGAAUCUCAUAGUCAUACCCCAAUAAUUUAGCAACCCAUUUAUGUUGUUCUGGCAUAGUAAUUCUUUGUUCCAGUAGAUAUUUGAGACUUCUUUGAUCGGUUUGAAUAAUAAAUCGUCUCCUCAGCAAGUAAGGACGCCACACGCGUAUGGCUUCCACAACAGCAAGCAUUUCCUUCUCAUACAUAGACCACGAUUGUUUUGAAACACCGAGAGCUCGACUCAUAAAAGCAAUAGGUUUGCCUUGUUGUUACAAAACUGCCCCAAUUCCAUUACCUAAAGCAUCGGUUUCCACGGUGAAAGCUUCAUUAAAAUUUGGCAUGGCUAAGAUAAGUGUGGUGGUCAUGGCCUUCUUAAGUGUAUGAAAUGCAUCCUCUGCAUCAUCAUUCCAGCCAAAUUGCCCUUGUUUUAGAAGGUUUGUGAGAGCCCGAGCAAUUAGACUAUAAUUCCGAACAAAUUGCAGUAAUAACCUAUCAACCCCCGAAAUCCACGCAGCUCAGAAAUAUUAGAAGGUUGUGACCACGCCACCAUGGCAUUAAUUUUUUUGCCAUCGAACUUCACCUCUUGAUGAGAUACCAAAUGACCCAAAUAUUCUAGCUCUUGCUUACCAAAUGCACAUUUACUAGCCUUGAGAAAGAACUGUUGUUGCUUCAAAAUUUCCAAAGUUUGAGUGACAUGAUAUAAAUGCAUUUCGCAAGUAGGGCUAUAGAUCAAGAUGUCAUCAAAAAAUACCAAUAUGAACUUUCAUAAAUAGGGCCGAAAAAUAGCAUUCAUAAUAGCUUGAAAUGUAGAUGGUGCAUUACUCAAGCCAAAUGGCAUAACUAGAUAUUCAUAAUGAUCGUUGUGUGUACGAAAAGCAGUCUUAUGAAUAUCUGAAGGGUGCACUCGUACCUGAUGGUACCCAGCUUUUAGAUCUAAUUUGGCGAAGUAUGCGGCCCCAUGCAGUUCAUCCAACAUAUCUUCCACUGUAGGAAUUGGAAACUGGUCUUUGAUAGUAACUGCAUUAAGAGAUCGAUAGUCGGUGCAAAGACGCCAACUACCAUCUUUUUUCUUCACUAACAACACAGGAGAUGAGAAGGGACUGGUGCUAGGUCUUAUGUGUCCAUAAUUUAACAUUUCUUGGACUUAUUUUUCGAUUUCUGCCUUCUGGAAAUAAGCAUAUCGAAAGGGUCGAAUGUUGACUGGCUCAAUUCCUUCCUUGAGGGGAAUGUUGUGGUUGAUUUCAUGCUUGGGUGGUAGUUGCAUAGGUUCUUUGAGGAUCUUAGUAUAUUUAUCUAAGAUCUGGCGCAUGCUUGGUGAUUGACUCUCUUCUGGUUCAUGCAUGGUUGAUUGUGGACAGAUUGCAAAUACCGAAUGGCCUUGGCGAAAUUCUUUUGAAAUCUCCUUCAAUGAAGCGACUUGAAUAGGCUGAUCACAAAAACCUUGUAAUUGUCGGGCCAUGUUAUCCCAAUAGAAGUUCAUGGUGAGAUUUCGCCAAUUACAUAUCACGGACCCUAACAUUUGCAACCAUUGGACACCCAAAACAAUGUUUAAACCUGCUAGGGGAAGUGAGUAAAGCGUAAGUGAAAAAGGAAUUCCCUGAAGAAGAACCUGUACUUUUUCGAACUUCCUUGACACUAUAGCCUUGCCCCAUUAGCAACCCGAACUGUAAAUGCCUCUGUUGGUACUACUGGUAGCCGCAGCAGAUCAGCCAUGCGAGUACUCAUAAAAUUAUGGGUGGACCCACUGUCAAUUAGCACCACUAUUUCAAACAAACCCACUUUGGCAUCUACAUGCAUGGUUUUAGGUGCAGACCAUCCAAUUAAAGCAUGCAAAGUAAUCUCAGGUUCAACAUUUUCCCUUAUCACCUCUUCUACGUCAGCUUCUUCACUAACUUCUUCAUAUGUGAUUCCAUUGAUGUGAGUUGGGCCCUCCAGAAGCAAAAGCUGCAUUCUUUGACAUUUAUGGCCGGUGGUGAACCUCUCAUUGCAAUUAAAGCAUAGUCCUUGGGCUAUACGUUUCUGCAUCUCUUCCCACGACAAUCUCCGAAAGGAUGCAUUUGGGAUUACCCGUGUUGUUGUUGGUGGCGCCAAUAGUGUUCGAUUGACUAGAGUUGGCCUCAAAAACUGACGUUGUCUUUUCAUAUGGUCAUCCUUCAUGCGAGCUAAGCUAAUUGCUUCCUUCAGUGAUUGUGGUUUGAACAUACGAAUUCCUUCUGCAAUCUCCGGUUCGAUAGGGUCAAACAUUUCCAACCAUUGAACACAAUAUUGACACUAAUAAUGUAAUAUAAAUGAAUAUUCAGUGUUAAAAAAAUUAAAUAUAUUCUAGAAUCUUGUAACAAAAUUAGACAAUAUUAACAUCAAUUACAAGCCCAUCAGAAAAGCUCAUAAGAAAGCUCAAAAACAGCCCAAAAAACAAUACAGUUUUUUUCUUAUUUUUUUUGUUAAAUAAUUGAAACCGAUCGGUUGGAACUGGUUUUGGUUUUUUUAAAAAAAUCAGUGUGGUUAUUUUAUAAGUAAAAACCGAACCGAACCGAAAAUGAUAACCUCAAUUGAUAUCAAAGCCCAAACCUUUUGACCUCUGGAUUGUUCUGGAAACAUGUUCGGUAUCAUGUGGCCAUGUGCCAUGAAGGGGAAGAAGAAGAUGUGUACCUGAUUCUCCUCACCAUCCAUGUAUAUUCCUUGCAAUCAAAAGACUAAAAGAGGUGCUAAUGACGCUGAUAAUUGGAGACAAUAAUUAAUACCGUUAAGCCUUUCAAGAUGAACUGGAUUACUGGAUUAAGCAGAGAAGAAAAUGAUGAUGUUGCAGACAAGGAAUGUAAAGUCUAUUUUUCUAUGCGUGGGAUGUCUGAAGAAUGAGUGGGGCAUACAUGAGCACUGAGUAUUGAAUACUUCUUUCAAUUUGUGGUUAGAAAUUCCGCCUUAGACUACUGUUUUAACUUCAAAAGUCUGUGGUUUGGUUCUCCUAUCUAGAAAAUUGUGACUAAUGUAUUUUUAUAGACUUGAUUUUACAAUUCUUUGAACAUUAUACUAUAUUUUUAAAAAGUAGGAAAAUAUUGUGUAUGACCUGCCCAACGCCCAGGCCAGGCAUGCAAGCACCAGCUAUCCGUAACCUUAGUGGACGUGUCUCCAGUCUAAUGCUUGGGGCUGCAUGCAGCCUCUCAUGCCCCCACCAAACAUAAUAAAAAUAAUAUUGUUUUUAAUAUUAAUAAUAUUAUUUUUAAUAUUAAUACUAUUAAUUAUAAUAAAAAUAAUAAUAUUUAUAACACCAAUAAUACUAUUUUUUAUAUUAAUACUUUUGAUUAUAAUAAAAAUAAUAAUAUUAAUAACACAAACAAUACUAGUUUUAAUAUUAAUACUUUUUUAUAUUAAUACUUUUGAUUAUAGUAAAAAUAAUAAUAAUAAUAACACAAACAAUAUUAUUUUUAAUAUUAAUACUAUUUAUUGUACUAAAAAUACUAAUAUUUAGAACACAAAUAAUACUAUUUUUAAUAUUAACACUUUUAAUUAUAAUAAAAAUAAUAAUAUUUAUAAUACAGAUAAUAAUAUUUUUAAUUAUAUUACUUUUAAUUAUAAUAAAAAAAUUAAUCUUUAUUAGACAAAUAAUAAUAUUUUUAAUAAUAAUAAUAAUAAUAAUAAUAAUAAUAAUAAUAAUAAUUGUUAUUAUAUUGUUAUUUUCAUUUUUCUUCUCGGCAAGGUCUGCCGAUCCAUAAUAAUAUUUAUAACACAAAUAAUAAUAUUUGUAAUAUUAAUAUUUUUAAUUGUACUAAAAAUAAUAAUAUUUAGAACACAAAUAAUACUAUUUUUAAUUAUAUUACUUUUAAUUAUAAUAAAAAAAUAUUUAUAAGGCAAAUAAUAAUAAUAAUAAUAAUAAUAAUUGUUAUUAUAUUUUUUUUUCAUUUUUCUUCUCUGCAGGGUAUACCGAUCCAGCCGCGUGGGCCUCUAAAUCCAAGGGCGGUUAGAAUAGAACUCGGCUACCGGGUCUGCACCCAACGUGCGGGUCUGCAGACCCCAGGGUUGCAGGGCUGACCCGCUCAGCCUGGGACUGCAGCCAGGCGAGCGGGUUUGCCCCCAGUGCCCAAGGCUGGGCAGACCAAGCGUCAGGUGGCUGCAGCUUAGGGCGCAGCCAGGCGGGCGUGGCCUGCCCAACGCCCAGGCCUGGCAGCCAAACAACAAGUGUCUGCAGCCCUAUUGGGCAUGCCUCCAGCCUGGCAUUUAAAUCCUGUAGGCUGCAGUCUCACCAUAUUUCUACCAAACAGUGCAGUUUAUAAUGAAAGUACUCGCAACUUAUACUACCUGCGUGUAGAACAAUAUAAUCUACAGUAAAAAUACUCACAAUACACAAUAACUCGCACAUCAAUAAAACACUGAUAAGUUGUAGUUGUAGUUAAUGUGCUCCAUUCUUUACGCAAAACACAAGCAGUUUUAUGGCAUGUUGGAUUGCAGGAGAAAGAAUACCCUAUAUAUAUAUAUAAAAGUUGAUAUCAAAAUAUCCAAAAAAUAAUUCAAAGCAAAGAAAAAUCAAUUUUUUUUUUUUUUUUGUAAAAACACUUUAGAACAGCAAGAAUAAAGGUGGCCUUUGUCAGGGAAAGAUUACAAGCUUAUAUAAAUGAGCUAUGAAACCGUGGAAAGGGACACUUGAAAGCUUAUCUGGGAGAUAUGUUGUGCAGAUCCUUGCUGCCUUUGGUCCAUCCUCUGUGAGAGAGUUUCGAUGUAUCCAAGGUCUACACAGGAUGUGUUGAGUUUCACAAAACUACCAUGUGUUUUGUUGAAUGUGCCUGCGCUGCCCUUCAAGAAAACAUUCCAUGCUUUCUACUUACUAACAUUUAUGAUGAAGAUCGACUGUAAUCCUAUUAACAUUCAAUGUGACUGAUUCACUGGUGGAUGUCAUGAAGAUUUUGUGUUUUUCAGCUUGGUUCCUAUUUUCUUUAAUCUAGUAUUCGCAACCAUGAAAUGAUUGUUGCGAGGAAGAAAAAGGGAAAAAAAUGUUUAUUUAUUUUUAUAAGAAAAACGCCAUUUUAGGUUUAUCACCCUUAAAAGCCGCCUGUAAUGUAAAUCGACAAUGAGAUGGUCUGGGCUGCAGGGUUUACGCCGGACCAUGAGCUUGUAUUUUAUUGAUUAUUUGGGCUAAAUAUAUGAGAUGGACUUUUCUGCUGCUUCUGCAUUUAGCAAUAACAACUCAUUCUUUUAAAAAAAGAAUUAAAAUCGCAACUUUAUUAAUUUGUAAAUGAGAUUACAUUAUAAAGGAAAUGAUGAAUACUGUAAAUCGCCAAAACCAUUACUCUUGUCUGCCUUGUUUCACGGGCGACGCCACCUCAGCUCUUCAAUCAAAGCAUUGAAAUCAGAGUAAGAAGAUCCACCUUCUUCAACAGCCUUCCUGGCCGUUUGUCCUAGCUUCUUUGCUCUGCUCCUCAUUUCCUCUGCCUCUUCACCCACCAUAAUUUGAGUGAUUUUCUUCUCUACAGCUUCACUUUUAACAUGAUCUCCAUGCACUCUAAGCCAUUCCUUGACUCCAACACCAACUCCAGUUUUCAAAACAUCAGUCACCAACUUUUCAUUAUAGAAUUGCUCAGCAAAUAUUGGCCAUGUAACCAUUGGUUUCCCUGCAGUUAUGCCUUCAAGAGUUGAGUUCCAUCCACAAUGAGUCACAAAUGCCCCUAUUGCUUCAUGAUCAAGAAUCAAAACUUGGGGUGCCCAUCCUCUGAUAAUUAGUCCCACGCCUUCCAUUCUUUCCCCAAAUCCUUCAGGUAACCAAUCUUCCUUGUCUUCUUGACCCUUUUUGUUUCUUCUAACUACCCAGAUAAACUGCUGACCAGAAGCUUCGAGACCUGCUGCAAUCUCCUUAAG